AAAAUCCCAAGUACUUCCUGCUCCUGCAAUAUCAUUGCUGUGUAUUUGCUUUCCCCUUAGACAUAUUCAAUUGUGGUUCAGGGUAAAAAAGCUACAGCUUUUCCUGCUAUGUGCAACAAGCUGUCAGAUCAGAGUGAAAUCGAAAACAGGGUUGUGGUUGAUGGCAACCUCAUCACCAGUAGAGGGCCAGGAACUUCUAUGGAGUUUGCACUGGCAAUUGUGGAGAAGUUUUUGGGCCGCAACAAGGCACUUGAGCUUGCAAAGAUAAUGCUUUUCACUCGCGCCUAACGUUUGUAUGGGGACCUGUCUACUAUUAAACUAGUGUGUUUAUUUCUGUAUUGCUACUGCUUGUAGAGAGGGGAAAUGGAAACUUGAAUUCAUGUUUGAAUAUGGAUUCACUGUGUGGGUUUGUACAGCAGUUUGGUUUAUAAAUAAAUGAGUUCAUGGAGUCACUUCAAAUAUUCGGAAUAAACCUGAGUUUAGAUCUGUUAUCAAUGGUCGGAGUCCAAUUGCGAUCGACUCACUGGGAAUUUUAAUUAUGAAUCAUGUUAUAUUCCACCUUUCUCAUAAAAUGUUAACUCGAUUUACAGGAUAAGAAGGAAAAGAAAGACGCUAAGAGAGGAGCAGACACCCAAAAAGAGUUGACCACUUUGUUGGAACAUAAAUCUCUAGAAUAUUGAAAUAAAACACAUACCAUAUCUAGUAUCAAGUAUGUAUGUGCAAGAAGAUACAAAUUUGAAGAUCAGAUUUCUCAUUUCAAUUUAUGUUCUGCUUAGAGCAAUGGCUCUUAUUCCACAAGCACAAGCAGGAAAGAGUACGCACGAAGUUAAGAAACACACAUUGCAAAAGUUGCAUUAACUACUUGCGGCAACAUCAUCCAAGAACUUGACUUUAAUCUUCUUGAGCUUCGCUGCAGCAUCUGUCAUAUGCAUUCUCUUGUCAGGUGACUCCAUACAACAAUCCAAUGCCAAAUCCAUGAUGCUUAAUAAACAAUCCAUUUUGGCAGAAAAAGCUUGCUCUUCUCGCACCAAAUUUGCGUCAACAACUUCACUCAAUCUGUGAGGUAAUGACUCCUUCACCCAUCUCCUUAAACUCAUUUCUUCUGUGAACAUUUGAUCGGUGGGCCUCUUUCUCGUGAAAGUUUCCAUCAAUAACACACCAUAGCUGUAGACAUCACAUUUGGCUGAAACAAUUCCUUCUAAUCCAUACUCUGCAUUUUUUAAUUUUAAUUAUGAAACAAAUGAUAAAACAAAUAAUUUUUUUGAUAAUUAAGGUAACCCAAACUUUGCUCGUGCUUGAAAAAAGAGCAAAAAUUUUAAUUACAAUUGAAACUUUACCUGGUGCCAUAUAACCAAUUGUAGCCAUUGUCAUGGUUUGUGUCACACAAUCUUCUCCUUCACCUAAGAGUUUGGAAAUGCCGAAGUCGCACACAUGUGCCAUCAUAUUUUCAUCCAAGAGAAUGUUGGUGGGCUUCAAAUCACAAUGAAUUAUAGGUGCCGACGAAUGACCAUGAUGGAGAUAUUCAAGAGCCGACCCCACAUCUAUCAUUAUAUUCAACCUCUCUAGAAUGUCUAAGAAAUAAUUGUAAGAAUACAACCACUUCUCGAGACUACCAUUUGGCAUGAACUCAAGUACCAAUGCUUUGAAAUCUGGAUUAGAACAACUGCUAAGGAUCUUUAUGAGAUUUCGAUGACGAACAUUCCGUAAAACUUCACAUUCAGAAUCAAAACUCCUAAAUGCUCUCUCUAGUUGCAGAUUGAAAAUCUUUAUUGCAACAUUAGUCCCGUCGGAAAUGGUUCCUUUAUAAACUGAUCCAAAACUACCUGUACCCAGCAAGUUACAUUCAUUAAAUUCAUCAGUUGCUCGUUGAAUGUCAAGGUAGGAUGUUCUUCUCCAUGUUGCAAGAGGUAGGAAAUCUUCGUGAUCUGAUUUUUUUGUACUCCUCUUUCGGCAUCUUAUGUACAUAAUGAUGAUAAUCACUAUAAGUACAGAGGAUACUAUCGGAGGCAAAAUAUAUUUAAGGACAAUUAGAGCAACGUUCUUGGUGCUUUUGCUGUCACCUUGUUUGCAAGGUGGGACUCGGAGUUUAGGUGGACCACAGAGUGCAUAAUUUCCGAAAAAUGAUUCAGUUGACAAGUUUUUAAAAGACCCCUUAACAGGAAUUUCCCCUUCUAGCCUAUUAUGAGACACAUUAAAUUGUUUGAGAUGUGACAAUAUCUCCAAUGACUUAGGAAUUUUUCCAGAGAGAUUGUUGCCGGAGAGAUCUAAGGAUUCUAAGCUUAUCAAACUGCCAACUGAUUCAGGAAUAGGUCCCUGAAAUUGAUUACGAGCCAAGGAUAGAGUUUCUAGAUCUAUGAGGGCACCAAUGGUUGAUGGAAUAUCACCUAAUAAUUGAUUCCUUGAUAAAUCUAAAACUGUCAAGACCUUUAACUUUUGUACAUUGGAAGGGAGAGGACCAUUUAAUGAAUUAGACGACAAGUUUAUCUCUAAGAUGUACUCAAGGCUCCACAAGGAUGACGGUAUACUAGAAGUGAGCUUGUUGGAGCCUAAGCGGAGUUCUCUUAGAGAUGUCAAACUCGCCAAGCAUGGCGGUAUAUGUCCAGAGAGCUUAUUUCCAUUUAACCUUAUUCCGUAUAUCAACUCCAAGUGGCAAAGAUCAUAGGGAAUGGAUCCUUCCAAAUUAUUUUCUUCAAGAGAUAAACCUUGUAGCCGCUUAAGUCUUCCCAUCGUUGGUGAAAUAGUUCCAUUCAAGUCAUUGAAGCCGAGGCUUAAGAGGAUCAGGCCACGCAACUUACCAAUUUCUUUAGGAAUGCUGCCCCCGAGUUUGCAGUUGGAUGCAUAAAAUUGUCGAAGAGAAGCAGAGAAAUUUCCAAUCACUGGUGGAAGGAUGCCACCCAAUGGAUUAUAAGCUAAGGCUAAAAAUGUUAAAUUUCUGCAAUUAGUCAGAGAAGAGAGAAAACUCCACUGAUCUGCUGAAGAUGAUUCUGUCGUCAAGUUAUUAAAUGCUAAGCUGAGCACGUCGAGGUGUCUCAAGUUGCCAAAUGUAUUUGGAAUAUGGCCCGAGAAUGAGUUGAAGCCCAAGUCUAGGGCAACGAGUUUAGUAGCAUUGGUGAUAGAGUGGGGAAUUAUCCCUAUAAGAUUAUUGGCCGACAAGGCUAAAUACUCUAUGUUCGGAAGCGAGUGGCCAAUCGUUGACGGUAAGCGGCCUGAGAGUUGAUUGCCCCCCAGAGUAAGGAUUCUCAUGGUUGAAAUGUUGAAGAUCGUGGGUGGAAUGAGGCCACUUAAAUUGUUGUCAGCAAAAACAAGAACCUCCAAAUUUUCCAGAUUGCCAAUCUCGGUUGGAAUUUGACCUGCCAUCAGGCCAACAUUGAGGAGUCAUUGAGCUUUUAGCUUAAGGUAAAUUGAGUUUGACAAUGUUACCCUUGAAAAUGUAAAAGGAUCAAAUUAAUUUUAUUACACAAUAAUUUCAGCCAAUAAUGUUCUUUACACAAUAAUUCUGCAAAAUAUGCAUGCAAAUGGAAAAAUAUGCUUCAAUUACAAGAGGUGGUGGAGCGUACCUCGAAGAUUGCUGAAGCUAAGAUCCAGAUACACGAGUUUACUCAAAUUUCCAAUCCUUGAAGGAAUAUUUCCACCAAUAGUAUUGAACUCUGCACGCAGCGUCUCUAGCCUUGAUAAGUUGAAGAGAGAAUUAGGGAUGGGACCUGUGAAACUGUUAUUAUAAAGUCUCAAUAUUCGGAGUUUAGAUAAGACACCAAUCCAUGAUGGAAAGCUUCCGCUCAAUUUAUUGUAAGCGAAACUCACGACUCUGAGUCGACGUAAUUGCCCCAAUUCUUUCGGCAGAUGGCCAUGAAAAUUGUUCUCACUAAUGUCAAGAGACACUAGAAAUGAGAGAUUUCCCAAGUGUAGUGGAAUGGUGCCUCCGAGACCCAUAUCUGAAAGAUUCAAGGCAGUGACUCGUUGAUGGCGUGAACCACAAGAGAUACCAACCCAGCUACAUAUUGGAUAAGAUAUAGACCAAUUAUUUGCCAGGGCACUCCGAUAAUCAAGAAUGUGGGCUUUGAAUGCCAGAAGAGCUGAUUGAUCUGUUGUUAAAUCGUUUAAAGUCGUCACAGCUAAGCUAGCAAUGAGAUACUGUAACACUAACACCGACAUAGGAACAAAGAAGAAUGAUAAGCGCAUAUUGGUCGUUUUUAGUAGUAGUUGCAAGGCGAGAUUGAUACAAGUUUUAAGUAAAGGAAAUUAGCAUAUACUUAUAAUGAGACAUAUGAAUUUGAAAAUAAGAGCAGAAAAAAUAUACAGGAGACUUGCAAAUUGUUAUAUUCUGUCAUUGAGCGAGCCGUCCAAGUAAACGCAUUUACACUUGAACCCUAAAUAAAGGCCUUAUGGCACUUUAAUUGCCAUAAGGAAGAAGAUGCUCAACAUUGCCAAAAGUGUUUUUCUUGAAGUCUCGUCUUCCGUAAUGUUUGUAAAAUCGAGGUUUUACCAUCUCUAAUUAAAUAUUUACUCUUGAUUUAGACCACGUAAUCUAAACUUGACGAAAAAUUAUGAUCUUAUGUGAUUUUAUGAAUGUGGUCUUAUCUCUUAUAAGUCGGCAAUGAAUUAAUUAAAGCUUGCUGACAAAUUACAAGCUCAAAAAUAUCUUUUACUUAUUCACAAUCUUAUUUCAUUUUUUUAUAACAUAAUAUUAAAAAUUUGUCUAUUAAAUUAAUUUAAUAAUUUUUUUAAUAAAAAAUCUCAUUGACGACCAAACAACUAAUUUUUUUUUUAUAAAAGCUUUGCUUGUUAAAAUUAUGCUGAAAAAAACUCUACUUAAGUAAGUUCUAUUUUUUUUAUAAAAGCCAUUUUAUUUCUUUAUCUUUUUUAAUUAUUAUUGGAAAAGUAGCGCAGCUUAUCAAAAAAGGAAAGAAAAAAAAAAGUCAAAGUGACGAGUGGCUUGUUUUUUAAUUUCAAAGUCAAUGCAAAGUAAAAGUACCGAAAUAAUCAGUUUUUAAAUCCAAAUAAGUGGCAAUAAAGGGAGGUCUUGUUAGGGGUGUUCGCGGAUCGAAUUUUAUGGAUUGGACAUCAAUCCAUAUUCGAUCCACGAUUUUACGGAUUAUAAAAUUUCAAUCCAAUUCAAUCCACGGAUUUGUAAAAUUCAAUCCAAAUCCAAUCCAUAAAUCUGCGGAUCAGAUGCAAAUUUGACCUAAUCCAUAUCCAAUCUACAAUUUUGCGGAUUGGUUUGUGGACUGAAAAUUUUUAAUUCUGUCAAAUCCACGAACUAACUAAAUAAAAAAAUUUAAUAUAAAAAUAAUUUUACUACGGAUCAAAUUUAAAAUUAAAUAAGAUUUAAAUAAAUAAAUUGCUUAAAUAAAGCUAGCAAAUACAUUUAAAGUUUCAAAAUAUAACACACCAAAAUGAAAAAAAUAUCAUUCGUUUUAGAUCAAGGAAAUUAACUAUUUAGUAAACUAUAUUUGUUUAUUUAAUUAUUUUUUAUUUUUUAUUAUUAUCGGAUAUGAUAUAAUAUAAUGUUAAUGUAACUAUAUUUUAACUUAUUUAUUUACUAGUAAGUACUAAUAACAUAUUUACAAGUUUUAUUUUUAAUUAAAUAAAUACUUUUUAUUUUUUUGCGGAUUCGCGGAUUUUUACCGAUUUACAGAAGUAGAUCCAUAUCCAAUCCACUGAUUGCGGAUUAUCAAAUUUUCAAUUCAAUCCAAUCCACCAAUCCACGGAUCAGACGGAUUGAGCAGAUCGAAUUAGAUUAUGAACACCCUUAGGUUUUGGUGUGCAUUGUUGAAAACUUGGAAGUCUAUAUGACCAUUUAACCAAACUAUAGGGGUAUAACUGUCACAAAUUUUUAAAAAUAAAUUUUACCAAACAUUUAAAUGAUUUUUUUUUCACAAUUGAUUAUUAAAUUCUAAGUGUUAGACUAUUGUAAGAAUACAAAUAAUUGACAUGGACAUAAUAUUAAAUAAAAUUUACUUAUAUAUAUAUAUAUAUAUAUAUAUAUAUAUAUAUAUAUAUAUUAUUGUUUGUAUAUAAAAAUUGCUAACUAAAAAAUAUUUAUAUUUUAUCAAUUUUAUUUCUUUUAUUUUUUUAUCUCAAGAUAAAUAUAAUAAUAACAAUCUCUCUAAAUUUAAUUAUUUUUGCUCUUUAUUGAAUAAGGAUAAUUUUGAGUUUCUGUAAUAUAUGUGAGGAUAUAUAUAAAAUUGUAUUAAAUAUAUAACUAUUCUCAAAAUUAAAUUUUAAAAAACUAGUUCAUUCUCACUUUUCAUUUAAUUAGGCAAAUGGCCACAGAAAUUGUUCUCCCUCAUAUCCAAAUAAACUGAAAACGAGAGAUUUCGUAAGUGUGGAGGGAUGAUGCCUUCGAAACCCAUCACUGAAAGAUUCAAGUUUGUGACUCUAUGGUAUGAGCACCACAACAUAUGCCAAUUCGACUGCAUAUUGAGUAAGACAUGGACCAAUUAUUCAAGAGAUUCAUGAGCCUUCGAAGUGAGAAAUAAAGCAAAUUAUGUGGUGGUCGUGGGUCAAUUGACUACGUUUCGUGAUCUACGUGCGAUUGCAACAGUCGGUUCAUUAAGUGAAAUUAAUGACUCGUCCACUAUAGUAAGAUACUGUCCUCAUUAGGUUGGUGCUGGGUCAAUUUUAUCCAUGAGUCAACUUACAUUAAUUUGAAUUAAUUUAUAAGAGUAUCUCAUUUUCGUUGAUUACGAGUUGUGAUCGAUGACAUGCACGAAAGCAGUCAAUUUACAGGUCAUUCACUAUAUAUAUGGGGUCUAUGGGUGGAUGGAUCUAACGUAAAUUAAGGGUUGAUGAUGACCCUCGACUUCUAACGACGACCAUCGAAGACGACCUUGACUUUACAUGCAAACACACAAUUCGCUCUCAUACAUUAUGUUUUAAAAUUUCUCCAUUUUCCGGGGCCCCGCUGUCGACCGUACACAGUUUAAUUUGUAUAUACAAGACCUCAUUGUUUCUAGCAAGCAUAGAGCCAUAGACCAUAUUAAUUCCAAUUACAUAAAUCUUCAUUUUUAUCAUGAUUUUGGAUCUCGAGCAGUGUGGAUAUAUCCAACCAGAUCCGCCUCACUGGCAUCCCAAUAUAUUUUAGAAUUGAGUAAUGAGUAUCAAUAAAUGUGUAAUUGUAAAUCUACAACGUUUAAUUUUAAUUUGAGGACUCAAAUGAAUUUAUCCAACAAUACCUCGUUAAAUUAAUAUUCCAUAAAUUUUUAACUUUAAUUAAAUAACAAAUUUUGUCCGUCCCAACUUAGGAUUAACGUGGUAAUUAAUAAUUUGAUAAAUUGUUAGAUAAUAAUUUUUUAAAAAAAUCUUAUUUUUUUAUUGGAUCAAACUGAUAUAUAAAUGAAUAAUUAAUUAAUUUUAAAACUAAAUUCAUGUUAUGUCAAUCAAAUGUUAUUGCAAAGAAGACUAGCAGCGACGCUUUGAAAGGUACACCAAAGCCUUUUGCACCUUCUCCUCCGUGACCACCAAUAGAUACUUCCACCAUUUCAACGUCAUGACAUGAUGUAAGUUUCUUUUGUAGAAUUUGCGAAUUGGUAAUCUUUUACACGCGUAUAUUUAUAUCAUUGUAUAGUUAUAGAUUCAAUUACUUUUAUGAUGCAUUUAUUAAUUUGGAAUUGAAGUAGACAAGAAUGGGCUGUAAUGUGAAUGGAGAAUCGAAAUUAGAAUAAGUUAUUUACUUGAACUGUAGAAAUCGAAAUGAGUUGGAUUGUCAUUAAUGUGUUUACUUUGUCUUGGAAUCAGAAUUGAAAUAAGUUAGUUUAUAACAAAUUACUAAAAACUACUUAAUGAACUAUUGUUAUAAUUAUUAUUUUGUAUUUUAAUUAUUAUGAUUAUUUAUUAAAAAUUAUUAUUGUUAUUAUUACUUAUUGUUAAUAGUAUAUUAAUAUAUUAAUAAAUUAUAAUAAUAUAUUAAAUAACUAUAAUAUAUUAAAAAAUAUACUUGUAUUUACAAGAAAUGACUGAUAAAAUUUCUAAAAUCGUCUUCCUCCCUAAAACUCUUAAUGCCACAGCCCUAAAAAUUAAAAAGAUUUGGGAAUUAUAUGUCUUUUUUAAAAUAUUAAAGGGUGUUUAUUUCCUUAAACGGUGGGGACUAAAAGUCCUAUUCCCAAACGAGUAGUGUGCCGGCGUUGGAGGCUAGAAAGACAAUUUGUUACAUUGCUUCAGAAGUGCUUAAUGGAAAUUUUGGUGAGGCAUCACAUAAUUUAAAGGAUCAGGCUACGGUGCAACUGUGGUACCGUACUACAGUUGCAUCCAGCCGUUUUAAUUCACUUAUAUUGGUGAGGUUCACUGGCAUCCAACGGCUGAAUGCAACUAUGGCACGGUACCACAGUUGCACCACAAGUUUCCCCUAAUUUAAAUUACUGGAAUUUGCAUCAAUGGUUUUUAUUGGUUUAUUUACUCGUCAACAAAUUACUGUAACUGCAGAAAACAGUGUAACACAUUGUAUAAUACGUUAAUACGUUAUAUUGGUCAGUGCUCCUACCAAGGAAAUCUUUUUAAGUUUUGUUAGCAGAAUAUUCUUGUAAGGGUGGAGGCAUAAGAGAUUAAUAAUUUAAUAUCUCUUGUUCAUUAGAAGAUUUUUUUUUUUUGGGAAAAAAAAAGAAGAAGAUGGUUUGUUUAAUGUUGAUAAAUUUUGAAGUACAAUUUUAUAGAUGUCGAAUGUGGGCAAAAAGUAAAGAAGCUCAAACACUUUUCUACAUCUAAACUAAUCAUUAGGAUUUAUAUUAACUAAUAAACCCUAAUAAUACGAGCGUUCAUAAAAACUUCAUAUGAACAUUGAACCAGCAUGGCAUCAUAUUGUAAUAAGUUGUACAGCUGUCAAUCUCUUAUUAGUCAGAUAUAUUCUGAGUUAGUUACAUGAAUGUAGUAUAAAUAUCAUACUCUGUACACAUUCUUAGUUAGUUACUUCAGUAGAAUUUUCUCUCCUCUACUCAAUUUUUAAGUUAUCUUUUAUAUUGGGGGCAAAUGAUAUUUUAUUAACGAAAUGAUUUUGCCCUCUUAAUAAGCUCUCAUUUCUCCGCUUUGAUCAACACAGCCUUCUUUUAUUACAUCAAAAUUCUUCCUCUUUCCAUCAAAAUUUCAUGGAUCUGCCCUUACGUAAAAUCAUAUGAGAGUAUAUAAUAAAAUUAAUUAGGUAUGUUUGGAACAUUUUUGGUAUCCUUAAGCUGAUUUUAUUUUUAUUUUUUUAUAGUAUAUAUUGUCAAAAGUAAAUGCUAUAAACACUUUCGGAAAAAAAGAUGAAGAGCACCUUUGGAGUAAUUUUUUCUAUAGGAACUAACAAAACAACUAAAUGAUGUAUGUAUCUCUAAGAUUUAUUAUUAUUAAUUUUUUUUUCUGUAGUUGACAAAGCAUCAUGAUUGUGUUGGAUGAUAAGAUUAAAGGUGGGAAUGGUCCGAAUGGACCAAUUUUUUAGGAUAAAAAAAAAAAUGAUUCAAUCCUGGGCAUGUUUGGCUAUCGAAACUAGUUGAUUAGUCUAAAGUUUAAUUCAAAAGUAAUGGGACUAUUAAUCCUUAGGAAAAUUAUCAUUUGUAUACUCUAUAGAUGCUCUGUUAUAUAAAAAAUUACAACACUUUGAGAGUGUAUCAAUCGUCCACCCUAAGUUGACAAAAUAUAUCUGCCGUCCAUCAAACCGUUACUUGCUGUUUAAAUAGGAUAGCGCCAGAGGGGUAAUUUGGUCUUUUCAUAUGAUACAAGUGAUAAUUCAAGGGUAUACAAGUGAUAAUAAAAGAAUUUAAAGGUAUACAAGUGAUACUUUUCAAGGGUAAAAUCAUCAAUUCGCUAUAAUUCCGUUAACUUUCAAACGACAGCUAACGGUUUAGUGGUCGGCAGAUAACUUUUUUCAAUUUAGGGUGGACGAUUGAUACACCCUCAAAGUGUUAUAGUAUUUUUUAUAAUAGAACAUCUAUAGGGUAUACGAAUGAUAAUAUCCCUAAUCAAUCCUUAAUUCAACUUAGGUUUAAGUAGUAUAUAAAAAAUCUUCUUUAUCACUCUUUUCAUUUUUAUUUAGAUUAAAAUUCAUAUAAAUAAAUAUAAAGAAUUAAUUUCAUAAUUUAUUUAAACUAAAAUUUUAUAUUAUAUUAAAUAUCCAAAUUUUAAUUCAAUAAUUUAUUUAUAUUAGAAUUUUAUGCAAUAUUAAAUCCCAAAACUUUAUUUAAUAAUUUAUUUACAAAAAUAUUAAUAUCAAAUUCAACAAUUAGUAAUAUAAUUUAAAAUAAUUACACUAUUUUAAUAGUUAUUUAGCUAUAUUAAAUUAAAUUUAACAUAUCCUUGUCCGAUACUAUACUAAACAAACGAUAGUACCUUAUAUAGUAUAGUCAAUCUAUUAUAAUAUAAUUCAAUCUAAUCGAACGUGCCAAAUCAGUACAUUUUAAAAAAUAAUUUUAUAACAGCUUUAAAAAAGCAUUUUUUAAGUUACUUUUACAAAAUGUGCUUUCUCCGAAAGCACUCGUGAAAUGCAAAUUCUCACAAAACACGUGGUGUGUUCAAUUGGGCCUCCGCCCAUUAAAACUACAACCAUGAAAGCAAGCAAUGUUCAUUGGGCUUUAUUCUCUCGAGAAAACUUAUACACGUAGCCCACCACCGGCGCCCUAAUUUGUCUCCACCUCUCUAAAUAGAGUUGGACUAUUGGCACCUUUCCAAAAUUCUUCUGAAAUUCCUUUUUCAAUAAUAUUAAGUUUAAUGCUAAAAAUAUCCUUAUUUCCAAAUAAAUACAUUUAAUUUGUGAAUAUUUUAAUUUUCUAUUAUUUUCUCGCUCCUCACAAACAAAUUUUUAUGGGCGAUAAACUUCUUGAUAAAAAUCAAUUAAUUAAAUAAAAUAUCUAUAAGAUUAUAAUGUAAAAAAUUUUAUUAUGAGUCUUAAAAAAAGACAGAUAAAUUUAUCAGAAUGUGUUUUGUUUAUUAUCAAUAGAUUAUUUUAGUAAUUAAAGAAAAAUUUAUAGAGAAUUUGAGAAAAAAAAUUACGUGUGAGUUUGAUAGCAAAGAAAAUAUAAGAGUUUUUUUUUAAGAGAGAAAAUACAAAAGUUUGAAGUGAGAUAAAAUAGAUAUAAGAUAUAUUAGAGUAUUUAUCCUUAAAUUUAAUUGUAACAAAAGAGAGGUUUUAAAAAGAUUUUGGAGGAGUGUCUCCAACUCCUCUAAAUAUUAUUGAUUGAUGCAUAUGUUUCACAGCAUAGAGUGGCUUACAUUGGAGCUUUUCUAAAAAAAUGAAAAUUUCAUUUAAUUAUUUAUUAUUCACGGAUAAGAAAUUAACUUCUUCUUUUUUCUAACGCCACAGUCUGGUGAGCUUGCCUAGUGUGUUUUAGUUGGAUAAAAAUUUUAGCAAAUGCUUCUUGGCAAGGAAGCUUAAAUAGUUUAACCUGAAUUUAACCUCGAAUGAACCCAAAUUAUUAAACCGAACCAAUCCGAAUUGUGAAUCUGAAUUUCAGUUCGAUUCAGUUUGGUUCAGGUUCGUAUUUUCAACUCGAACAAGUUUAAUGCUCCAAUUCGAUCAGGUUGUAACCUAAACCGAAACUCGAAAACCCGAACUGAAACUCAAUUUGGCCACCCCUAAUGAGAACUGAGAAGUACCUGGAUCGUAAAAGAAAGGUUUUGAUGAUAAUUUUGGCUAAAAAUCUGUUUCUUAACUUCUAUUUUUAUUUUUUUAUGCUGUAUUUUAGUUGCUGAAUAGGUUAUAUAUAGAAGUUCAGUUAAUUUUGUUUUGGAUGAAAAAUCAAUGAGUACUUCUGUGAUUAAUAAGUGAAAUUUUGUUUGCAUCAUAUAGUCAGCUAUAAUGCAUUGGAUGGCUUUGACUCAGCAUGGAAGAAAUGCUCUCCGGCAGAUUACUAAAGAGAGCUCUGAUCGCGUGUUGCAUCACCCAUUGCUAUUUUCUUGUCAAGGAGUCAGAUACAGACGAUUGGAAGUGAUUCUAACAACAAUGAGUAAAUUGAUCUUUUGUUUUCCCUUUUCACCAGUUUGGAUCUCUUGACUAAUCAGCCUGUUUGAGUUUUAACUUGUGUAUUAAUGAUUGGUUUUAUAUGUUCAGAAAGUUGACAAGCUUGGUAAAGCCGGUGAAACUGUGAAGGUUGCUCCGGGGUAUUUCCGGAACCACUUGAUGCCCAAAUUGCUUGUUGUUCCAAAUAUCGAGAAGUUGGCUCAUCUCAUUAGAGAGCAGCGCAGGUAUUUGUUUUUCAUGAUUCUUCUCGGUUGAACUUUUUUUGUUUGGGUUGAGAAUGGUUAAUUCUAGUGAUACAGAAAUUUGCUCAUUUUCUUUAGAUACUUUGUUUAGCCAGUUUGUCAAUUAAUUUGACUCAUGGCUUCAAAUUAUUGCUAAAUUCUCAGUUUGGAAAUAUUUGUGAUUUUUGAAGGGGCAUUACAAGUUAUUAAAGUUUGUUGUGCCUGUGACUUAUUUUCAUCAGAUUUGCCAGCCUGAGGAAGAGGAAGAGGAAGAGGAAGAGGAAGAGGUUAGAGUUAUCCGGAAGUCUGAGGACAAUAUGAGUAGAGAAUUUGAGAAGGCAGCUAGGCGCCUAGAGAAUGCUCGACUGGUUUGUGGCCUAUCUUUUAAUUUCUUCAGAUUCGGGACAAAUUGUCUUGGAGUGAACUGAUGUGUUGCCUUUUCCUUUUUUUUUAGCUUGAAUGAUCUAUUUGCUACAGUUAGGAGUGAACGUCGUAAUGAAUUUUAAAUUAUACUGUUUGUUUCGAUUUACUUUUCUAUCUUAGCUCCAUCAAGUGAUUAGUGGAAUGCUGGUCCUGUGAGUAUAAAAUGAAACUCCUUAAGUUAAAUUCCUUAGGCUGUGUUUAUUUUCUGUAGUGGGAGCGAGGAGUGUAAAUUCUUUUCAUUUCAGUAUUUAUUUCAACAAAUUGGCUCCGGAUUGAGAAUCCCACUCAGUAGACCCCACCCAUUUUUGGAGUGAGAUUCCCAUGGGGAGAGGUGGGAGUGAGAUUCCCACUCCCACCUCUCCCUUUUUUUACAUUUUUUUUAAUUUAAUUUAAUUUAACUUAAUUUAAUAUUUAAUAAAAUAAAAUAAAUAAUAUCAUAUUUAUUUGAAUAAUAUUAUUAUAUUUAUUUUAAAAAUAAUAAUACUAUAUUUAUUUAAUAUUAAUAAUUAAUAAUAAUAAAUAGUUUAUUCUAAGAAAAUAUUAAUUUUGUCCUAAAUAAUAUUAUAUUAUUAUUUUAUAUAAUAAUAAAUUUAAUAUAAUUAUAUUAAAUAAAAUAAAAUAAUGUUUCAUUUUAUAUUUACCCUUCUUUUUUACCCUCUUUUUAUUAAAUUUACUAUAAUUAUAUUUAAUAAAUAUUUAAAUAAUAUUAUAUUUAUUUAAAUAAUAUUAAUAUAUUUAACUAAAUAAUAAUUUGGUUUGAUUCUAAGUCUAAAUUACUUAAAAAUAAUAUUAUUAUAUUAAUACAGAAUUAAUAAUAUUACUUUUAUACCAUCUUUAUUUGAAAAUAUAUUAUUAUUAUUAUUAUAUUUAUUUAAAAAUAUUAGUAUUAUAUUUAUUUAAUAUUAAUAAUUAAUACUAAUAAAUAGUUUAUUCUAAGAAAAUAUUAAUUUCAUACUAUGUUAAUAGUAAAAUAUUUCAUUUAUAUUGCCCUUAUCAAUAAUUUUUAAUUUAUAUAAUUAAAAUUAAAAUUAAUAAAAAAAUGUGAUGUUCAUAAUUAAGAAUAUUAAUAAUUAUUAUAAAUUUACAAAUAUAAAUGUUUAUUCAUUAAAUAUAUUUUUUAUUAACUUUGUAAUUAAAAACUAUAAUUCUUUAAAUAAGGAUAAAAUUGUAAUUUGAAACUAUUUACUCCCAAUCCGAGACAAACUAAACACAUAAAUUGAAUUCUGAUCUCCAUUCCAUGCUUUCAUUUUAGUGUAAGUAAACAACAUACUCCCACUCCCAAUCCUAAGAUUCCCACUCCAAUUCAAAAAGUAAACGCUACCUAAAUACAAGUAAUCUUGCUUUCAGAUAUGAAUUAUCUGAUGGAUGUUGUAUUUUCAAGGUAUUGAGGAGAUUCCCCAAUAUUGAAAAAUUGCGUUCCCGUGCAUCAAAAGAUGAUCCCAUAGAAUUGCGUUCACCUGUGACAAAAGAGGAGCUUGUAGUUGAGGUAUGGAUUUUUAUAUUUCUUGGUUGUUUUUAUACUUGUUUCUCAUCAUAAUAGCAAAAGCAGUUUGUUCUGAGUGAUCUGUGUGGUCUCCUAUCAAUGACUGCCGUUUCUAUCAUUUAGUACUAUUGACUAUGUGUGUAUAAAUAUUUUGUUUUUACCAUGUAAUUUCAUAUUCGAUGCAUUUCUAAUACAUUGCAUAGCGUCCAUGAAUGGGAAUGAUAAAAUAAAUUUCAAGCGUGUUUCAAUAGAUGAAAAAACUUGGAACGAUUUAGAAGGAUUUGCUGAUUAAAUAAUUUUCCAAUUUGUUUGCUUGGAGGAAUUGAAUAGUUAACUGAUUAAAGGAUUUCAAGGUGGUUCGGUCCCGCUGGGCAUUGUCAAUAUCAACGGUCAUUAAUUCCUAUUAUCUGAAAUUGAAUUUCCAGUGUGGCAUGGUAACUUUCUGCUAGGGUGUGAUUGUAUAGUAGCCAAUUGUGAGCAACAGAUCCGCAUAGUAAUAUAGAUUGAAAUUUUGCAUCUUAAUCCAUGAAGAUAUAGAUUUUGGCAAUAUUAUACAAGCACUGGGGAUUACCUUAAAUAUUCUGGACUUGUCAUUGAUAGAGUUUCUUUUACCUAGUUAUUGAUAUUUCUUUCAAUUUUCUAUUUUACUCAUACAAUUUAUACAAUUUUAGGUGGCAAGACAACUUUCGUUUUCUAUUGAGCCUGAAAACCUGCAUCUACCAUCACCUCUAUCUGCUUUUCGAGAAUAUGAGGUUCCUAUGCGCUUACCCAAAGCCAUCCCCCUACCGGAAGGAAAGGUCCAAUGGAUUCUCAAUGUUAAAGUCCGCGGCAAAUAAAUAUUUUUUAGUUAAUUUUUUAAUCAAUAAAAAAAGGUAAUUAAAAAUGUAAUUAAUAAAUUACUUAUUAGCAAAUUAAAAAACAAAUAUUAGCAUAAAAUAAUUGAUAUUUCAUUCUCUUACAACAAUCUUACCAAUUAUUAUUUAUAAAUUAAUUAAUGCAAGUUAAUUUAAAGUAAUGUUUAAUAUUCUUGUAACAACCUUACUAAUAAUUUUUUGAUAAAAAAAUUAAUUUAUUAAAUUAAUCCUAGAAGUAAAAUAAUAAUAAUUAAUUUGUAUUUUAUUUUUAAGAUUAAUUUGAUAAAUUUAAUUUUUUUUAACUAAUAUCUCCAAGAAUAUAGUUGUAACGAUAUUAUUACAAAAGGAAAAAAAAUAUAAGAUUAUAAUAUAUUUACCAGUAAGAAUAAUUUAAAAUAUUUUUUAAGAUAUAAAAAUUAAACGGACACUUAAUUAAAAAAAAAAAAAAAAAACUAAAUAAGUAGUUAGCUUUUAACAUUUCAACCUAGUGGUCAUACAAUCAUGGUGCGGCCCGGGAUGGCUGGCCCAGCCCAUCAUGUAAAAAUCCAUGUCACCCUCAUUCUUAAGCUGCUACUCUGCCACUUGCCACGGAGCUCCCCACAUCAUACCGUACCGAUGCCUCUAGAAAGCUAACUUUAAAAAAAUGGUAUUAAUAAGCGUACGCCACGUCACUCCUCACUCUCUUCUUCGUCACUUUCCUCUCACUCAACAUUUUCUCCCCAAACAAAUUCCUUCUUUGAAAAAUCGCAUUUUCUCCUUCACAGCAACCGCUACAAUGUCUUCAACUUCCAAGAAGGUAAUUUUUUUAAAUUUUAUUUUUUGUUUAGUUUCUUUCUGUUGCCUUUUUGUUUCGUUUUUUGAAUUUUCUGUGUCGUUUUUUUUUUCCCAAGGUUUUGGUGCCUGUUGCGAACGGGAGUGAGCCGAUUGAAGCCGUGAUAACGAUCGAUGUUUUGAGAAGGUCUGGAGCUGACGUCACGGUUGCGUCUGUGGAUAAACAGCUUCGUGUCGACGCGUGUCAUGGUGUCAAGAUUGUCGCUGAUGCUCUCGUGUCUGACUGCCGCGACGCUGUUUCUGAUCUUAUAGCUCUGCCCGUAUGUAUUGCAGCUCACCUCAGCUCAUGCUAAUUUAUGUGAUGUUUGUAUAAUUAUAGAUGAUUACUGCUGAUACUGAAUGUUAAAGCUAAAUAAUUCGUUCUUAAGUCAUCUUCAUUUAAUUUUCGAUUGAAAAUGAAAAAAAAAAUAAUUUUAAGCAAAGAAAAUGUUUAUUUUGUUUUAUUUUUAUUUUUAAAUUUUUGGGAUUUCCUUAUUGUGACUGUUGUCAUUCAUUAUAUGGUCCUAGUUAAAUGUUUCAAGUUGUUGUAGUCUGUGAAACUCUUUUCGAUAUUUGUUCUGGCAUGUACAUUUUUCCUUUCAAUUUAUUUUGUUGCUGAUACUUUGAUUAUGAUAUAUCCUUUUUUGUUUCCCUUGUAGGGUGGCAUGCCCGGUGCUACCAAUCUGAAAGAAUCUGAAGUAUUAGAAACCAUUGUGAAGAAGCAGGCUUCAGCUGGGCGUCUUUAUGCUGCUGUCUGUGCUUCACCUGCUGUGGCAUUAGGGUCUUGGGGUCUGUUGAAGGGAUUGAAGGUAAGAAUUAGAUAAGCCUUUUUUUAUGUUUGGUGUUCUUUUGGGAAUUGCAUUGAUAUUUGUGUUAUACAUCAGUUUUGCUCUCACCGAUGAUUGUUAAGUUCUAAUUUAUGGGGUUAUUCAUUUUUUGUAGGCUACUUGUUACCCGUCAUUUAUGGAGCAAUUAGCUCCUGCUUGUGCAGCAACUGUUGAAUCAAGAGUACAGCAGGAUGGUAAAGUUGUUACGAGUCGUGGACCUGGCACUACUAUGGAGUUUGCCAUUGCACUUGUCGAGCAGUUGUAUGGGAAAGAGAGAGCUGAUGAAGUUUCUGGGCCACUGGUAGUAACUUUUAUAGAUAAUGUUGUUUAAAAAAAUUGUGAGUUAUAUAAUUUGUGGAAAUUCAUUCUAAUAGGUUCAUCUAGUAUGUCAAAUUGGAAGGUUCAGAUGCUAAUAUAUUCCAAAAAAUUUGUUCAGGGGAAAAGUAUGACUUUUUGCAUUAGAGAUUCAUUAGAUGAAGUUGUAUACCUGCUGGCCCAUCUUAAUGUGGUGAAAACGAUGUCUGAUGAGACUGAUAUAAUUAUUGGAAUCUUGAUAAAUGCAUUUGUUGAGCUUGAAUGUCUCCACUGAUCACGUUCUUUUUAAUGUAAGUUCUUUCUCUUGGUAUUUGUCUUUGAAUCUUCUCUUCCUCAUGCUUUCGUCUUCACUGUCACCUUGUGCCUAGGUAAUGCGUGCAAAUCAUGGAGAUGAAUACACUAUUGCUGAAUUCAAUCCAAUUCAGUGGACAUUUGACAAUUCUCCCCAAGUAAGAUUUGACUUCUAGUUUCUUGUAGUUGUUUUUCUUCAUCCGAUGUUUUCAGGGAUACCCAUUUGGCAGUAUAUAAAAGUCUGUGAUAUCUUCUAUACAUAUACAUCAUUGGCUUCAGUCAUUUUCGAACAUAUUGGAGGUAGUAGAUGUAUUUUUAUGAUAUCUCUAAUAAAAUCCCAAGUUUGAUCAAUUACAAAAGAAGUAUGAGCGGUGCUGGACCGGGGGGGAAGAAGAAGUGGGGGGUCGGUGUGGUGGGGGUGUGCAGUGCAUGAAUAAAAGGAAAUGAUAGGGGGUGAAAGUUUGUGCUACCGACAUGCUGUAAAAUGGGGACAUAAUAUUUCAAAUUAGAUAUUGUGUGAUCCUUAAUAUUGCUGACUUUUGCUUAAAAUGGAAUUCUUGAUAACUUCAAAUGUUAAAGUUCUUGGUGAAAUUUUGUACUUUCUUUUCUUUCAGAUUCUUGUGCCUAUUGCAAAUGGUUCAGAGGAGAUGGAAGCUGUUAUGAUAAUUGAUAUUCUGCGACGAGCUAAAGCAAAUGUUGUAGUUGCAUCAGUUGAGGAUAAACCAGAAAUUCUGGCUUCUCGUCAAAUUAAAUUAGUGGCAGAUGUGCUCAUUGAUGAGGCGGCUAAACUCUCGUAUGAUUUAAUUGUCUUGCCAGUGAGUUGGGGUGCUUACUGUUGCUUCAUAGUCUUUACCACAUAAUUGACUUACUAACUACAAUUUAUCCAUGCACAUUGCAUAGGGUGGACUUGGUGGCGCUCAAGCAUUUGCGAAGUCAGAGAAAUUGGUGAAUAUGCUAAAGAAGCAAAAGGAAUCAAAUAGACCUUACGGUGCUAUAUGUGCAUCCCCAGCUUUAGUGUUGGAGCCCCAUGGCUUACUCAAGGUACGACCAUUUCUGCUUAAAUUAUUUACUCAGAUUUGGAUCACCUAAUCUGAACUUGAUGAAGGAUUAUGAUGUUGUGUGAUUUUAUGAAUGUGGUCUUAUCUCAUGUAAGUCGGUGAUGAAUUAAUUGAAGUUUGCUGACAAAUUAGAAACUGAAAAACUGCUGCUGCUUCGUUAGUUACAUUACCCAAAGAGUUAAAAUAAACAUCCCAAAUUUUUUGUCCCAAAUUCUGUCCCAAAUGAUAUGGCAUUUAUUGAGUGAUUGUAUUAUCUAACCAACCAAUUGAUGAAUGACACAUCAUUUGAGAUGGUUUUUUGGGAUAAAGAAUUUGGGAUUUUUACCCGCAAAAAUCCCAAGUACUUCCUGCUCCUGCAAUAUCAUUGCUGUGUAUUUGUUUUCCCCUUAGACAUAUUCAAUUGUGGUUCAGGGUAAAAAAGCUACAGCUUUUCCUGUUAUGUGCAACAAGCUGUCAGAUCAGAGUGAAAUCGAAAACAGGGUUGUGGUUGAUGGCAACCUCAUCACCAGUAGAGGGCCAGGAACUUCUAUGGAGUUUGCACUGGCAAUUGUGGAGAAGUUUUUUGGCCGCAACAAGGCACUUGAGCUUGCAAAGAUAAUGCUUUUCACUCGCACCUAACAUUUGUACGGGGACCUGACUACUAUUAAACUAGUGUGUUUAUUUCUGUAUUGCUACUGCUUGUAGAGAGGGGAAAUGGAAACUUGAAUUCAUGUUUGAAUAUGGAUUCACUGUGUGGGUUUGUACAGCAGUUUGAUUUAUAAAUAAAUGAGUUCAAAGAGUUACUUCAAAUAUUCGGAAUAAACCUGAGUUUAGUUCUGUUAUCAAUGGUCGGAGUCCAAUUGCGAUCGACACACUGGGAAUUUUAAUUAUGAACUAAAAAAUUGUUAUGUUAUAUUCCACCUUUCUCAUAAAAUGUUAACUCGAUUUACAGGAUAAGAAGGAAAAGAAAGACGCUAAGAGAGGAGCAGAGACCCAAAAAGAGUUGACCACUUUGUUGGAACAUAAACCUCUAGAAUAUUGAAAUAAAACACAUACCAUAUCUAGUAUUAAGUAUGUAUAUGCAAGAAGAUACAAAUUUGAAGAUCAGAUUUCUCAUUUCAAUUUAUGUUCUGCUUAGAGCAAUGGCUCUUAUUCCACAAGCACAAACAGGAAAGAGUACGCACGAAGUUAAGAAACACACAUUGCAAAAGUUGCAUUAACUACUUGCAGCAGCAUCAUCCAAGAACUUGACUUUAAUCUUCUUGAGCUUCGCUGCGGCAUCUGUCAUAUGCAUUCUCUUGUCAGGUGACUCUAUACAACAAUCCAAAGCCAAAUCCAUGAUGCUUAAUAAACAAUCCAUUUUGGCAGAAAAAGCUUGCUCUUCUCGCACCAAAUUUGCGUCAACAACUUCAGUCAAUCCGUGAGGUAAAGACUCCUUUACCCAUCUCCUUAAACUCAUUUCUCCUGCGAACAUUUCAUCGGUGGGCCUCUUUCUCGUGAAGGUUUCCAUCAAUAAAACACCAUAGCUGUAGACAUCACAUUUAGCUGAAACAAUUCCUUCUGAUCCAUACUCUGCAUUUUUUAAUUUUAAUUAUGAAACAAAUGAUAAAACAAAUAAUUUUUUGAUAAUUAAGGUAACCCAAACUUUGCUCGUGCUUGAAAAAAGAGUAAAAAUUUUAAUUACAAUUGAAACUUUACCUGGUGCCAUAUAACCAAUUGUAGCCAUUGUCAUGGUUUGUGUCACAGAAUCUUCUCCUUCACCUAAGAGUUUGGAAAUGCCGAAGUCGCUCACAUGUGCCACCAUAUUUUCAUCCAAGAGAAUGUUGGUGGGCUUCAAAUCACAAUGAAUUAUAGGUGCCGACGAAUGACCAUGAUGGAGAUAUUCAAGGGCCGACCCCACAUCUAUCAUUAUGUUCAACCUCUCUAGGAUGUCUAAGAAAUAGUUGUGAGAAUAUAACCACUUCUCGAGACUACCAUUUGGCAUGAACUCAAGUACCAAUGCUUUAAAAUCUUGAUUAGAACAACUGCUAAGGAUCUUUAUGAGAUUUCGAUGACGAACAUUCAGUAAAACUUCACAUUCAGAAUCAAAACUCCUAAAUGCUCUCUCUAGUUGCAGAUUGAAAACCUUUAUCGCAACAUCAGUCCCGUCGGAAAUGGUUCCUUUAUAAACUGAUCCAAAGCUACCUGUACCAAGCAAGUUACAUUCAUUAAAUUCAUCAGUUGCUCGUUGAAUGUCUAGGUAGGAUGUUCUUCUCCAUGUUGCAAGAGGUAGGAAAUCUUCGUGAUCUGAUUUUUUUGUACUCCUCUUUCGGCAUCUUAUGUACAUAAUGAUGAUAAUCACUAUAAGUACAGAGGAUACUAUCGGAGGCAAAAUAUAUUUAAGGACAAUUAGAGCAACGUUUUUGGUGCUUUUGCUGUCACCUUGUUUGCAAGGUGGGACUCGGAAUUUAGGUGGACCACAGAGUGCAUAAUUUCCGAAAAAUGAUUCAGCUGACAAGUUUUUAAAAGACCCCUUAACAGGAAUUUCCCCUUCUAGCCUAUUAUGAGACACAUUAAAUUGUUUGAGAUGUGAAAGUGUCUCCAAUGACUUAGGAAUUUUUCCAGAGAGAUUGUUGCCAGAGAGAUCUAAGGAUUCUAAGCUUAUCAAACUACCAACUGAUUCAGGAAUAGGUCCUUGAAAUUGAUUACUAGCCAAUGAUAGAGUUUCUAUAUCUUUGAGGGCACCGAUGGUUGAUGGAAUAUCACCUGAUAAUUGAUUCCUUGAUAAAUCUAAAACUCUCAAGACCUUUAACUUUUGUACAUUGGAAGGGAGAGAAUCAUUUAACGAAUUUGACGACAAGUUUAUCUCUAAGAUGUACUCAAGGCUCCACAAGGAUGACGGUAUACUAGAAGUGAGCUUGUUGGAGCCUAAGUGGAGUUCUCUUAGAGAUGUCAGACUCGCCAAGCAUGGUGGUAUAUGUCCAGAGAGCUUAUUUCCAUUUAACAUUAUUCCGUACAUCAACUCCAAGUGGCAAAGAUCAUAGGGAAUGGAUCCUUCCAAAUUAUUUUCUUCAAGAGAUAAACCUUGUAGCCGCUUAAGUCUUCCCAUCGUUGGUGAAAUAGUUCCAUUCAAGUCAUUGAAGCCGAGGCUUAAGAGGAUCAGGCCACGCAACUUACCAAUUUCUUUAGGAAUGCUGCCCCCGAGUUUGCAGUUGGAUGCAUAAAAUUGUCGAAGAGAAGCAGAGAAAUUUCCAAUUACUGGUGGAAGGAUGCCACCCAAUGGAUUAUAAGCUAAGGCUAAAACUGUUAAAUUUCUGCAAUUAGUCAGAGAAGAGAGAAAACUCCACUGAUCUGCUGAAGAUGAUUCUGUCGUCAAGUUAUUAAAUGCUAAGCCAAGCACGCCGAGGUGUCUCAAGUUGCCAAAUGUAUUUGGAAUAUGGCCUGAGAAUGAGUUAAAGCUCAAUUCUAGGCCAAUGAGUUUAGAAGCGUUUGUGAUGGAGUUGGGAAUUUUUCCGGUAAGGUUAUUGGCCGCCAAGGUUAAAUACUCUAUGCUCGGAAGCGAGUGGCCAAUCGUUGAUGGUAAGUGGCCUGAAAGUUGAUUGCUAAUUAGAUUAAGGACUGUUAGGGUUGAAAUGUUGAAGAUUGUGGGUGGAAUGGGGCCACUUAAAUUAUUCGCACUAAGAACAAGGGUAUCCAAAUUUUGUAGAUUGCCAAUCUCAGUUGGAAUUUGACCUGUCAUAAAGAUAAACGCCAAAUUGAUGAGUUAUUGAGCUUUUUACUUAACAUAAAUUUUAAUUUCAUAACGCAUGAAAAUCAAAUUUGCCCACAAAAUGUGUGUUAUUAGUUUUAUAAUUUUUUUUUGGGUUUUUUUUGGGGGGGGGGGGGGGGAGAUUGAUAUUGCUACCUCAUAAUUUUUGUAAAACCCCACCCGCUUUCAGAGAAUUAUUGGAACAAGAUUCUUAAAAAAAUUCAAAUAAAGAAGAAGUUUGGAGAAAUAAUCAAUUAAAUCCAUCUUAAUAUACUUUUUGAAACUUAUAUUCUUUUAUCAUAUAUAAUAACUAAGGUUGCUUUAACAUAAAUUUAAUAUAACUAGUCUACUCUCAUAAGGUAGAAUUACUAAAAUACCCACAAAUUUACUUCAACUUCAACUAAACUAACAAAAUGUAUUUGUUGACAUGUGGGGAACUAAAAAUUAUUGAAUUUUAUUUUAGAAAUAUUGUAUUACAAAACAUAAAACAAAAUGCCGAAACUAUAUAUUAGAUACAAUAGUACAUGUUUUUCGGGGUAAUUUGGUCAUUUUAUAUUAUAAGAGUAAAAUAGUCAAAUUAAACUUAUUUUAAAGCAACCGUAAACGGUCAAAGAUUGUUAAAAGCCCUAAGUCAUAAAAGAAAAACAUUAUAAAAAUAAUUUAUUAAUUGUUCAGACUUAAUUUAUAAUUUUAUAACAUAAUGUGAACUUAUUAUAACUAUCUUUUCAAAAUGAGGUGGGUUUGCAAGAAUAAUGAGUGGAAAUAUCCCCACCCUAUAAAAUAAAAAGAAUUUUGCAGCUAUGCAAAUGCAAAUAUGUAGAACGUACCUUGUAGGUUGUUAUAACCUAGAUUCAGAAUGAAAAGGCUGCUAAAAUUUCCUAUCCCUGAAGGAAUAUUUCCAUCAAUAACGUUGUAGAUUGCGUCGAACACCUCCAGCUUCGAUAAAUUGAGGAGAGAAUUUGGGAUUGGACCCGUGAAACUGUUAUUAUAAAGCCUCAACGUUUGUAAUUUGGAUAAGACACCAAUCCAUGUUGGAAUGCUUCCACUCAAUUUAUUGAAACCGAAUCUAAUGAAUCUGAGUCGGCGUAAUUGCCCCAAUUCAUUAGGCAGAUGGCCAUGAAAAUUAUUAUGAGCAACAUCAAGAGAUACUAAGAACGUGAGAUUUCCCAAGUGUAGUGGAAUGGUGCCUCCGAGACCCAUAUCUGAAAGAUUCAAGGCAGUGACUCUUUGAUGGCGUGAACCACAAGAGAUACCAACCCAGCUACAUAUUGGAUAAGAUAUAGACCAAUUAUUUGUCAGAUCACUUCGAUAAUCAACGACACGGGCUUUGAAUGCAAGAAGAGCCGAUUGAUCUGUUGUUAAGUUGCUCAAAGUCGUCAUAGCUAAGCUAGCUAUGGAAUAUUGUACCAACAACAUAGGAACAAAGAAGAAUGAUAAGCACAUAUUGGUCGUUUUUUUUUAUAGAUGCAGCAAUCUAAUUGCUAGGUGAAGUUGAUACAAGUUUUAAGUGAAGGAAACUAGCAUAUACUUAUACAAGAGACGUAUGAAUUUGAAAACAAGAAAAGAAAAAAAUGUACAGGAGAGUGGAGACAUGCAAAUUGGUAUAUUUCAUCAUUGAGCGAGUCGUCCAAGUAAACUCAUACAGACCUGUAAAUUGUUAUAGGCCGCGGUACUUGAACCGUGAAUAAAGGGCUUAUGGCACUUGACUUACCAAAAAGAAGAAGAUGCUCAACAUUGGCAAGGCCUAUGCAUUCUGUCCAUUUGUUCACGUUUUGCCAAGGCUCAGGGCAACCACAAUAUGUUCUUUUUCUUCCCUCUUAAAACAAAAAACAAAAAAAAAAGACGACAUUUACAUUUGGGCUAAUAAUUAUAACUAAACAAUUAAUAAUACUGAGGGUCAGUGGUAAUGUAGCUUUAAAAUAAUUGUUAUUAGUUGUGUCUUAAAAAUAAAGAAAAAAAAUAACUAUACCCAUAUAAUUAAUAAAAUAAUCAUGUAAAUUCCUAAGCUUUUAACAAUAUACACCAAGACCCCCUACCGUUACUUUUUACCAUUUAUUUGGAUGUCACAUGCUUUUUUUUUUUAAUUUUCACAGUGGAUAUCAAAUGCUAAAUUUACUGUUAUUCCCAUAUCAUGUCAUCACUUGCUUCUACACACAUUGAUUGUUUUUCCAAAGUUUCAAAUUGAAUUAAAAACAUUCUAAUUAACCUAAAAAAAACUCAUCCAACCAGAUAUAAAUCAUCUAAUUAACCUAAAGAUAGCUACACCCCCAUAUUAAUUCCAAUUAAAUAAAAUUCAUUUUUGUCAUGAUUUUGGAUCUCGAGCAGGGUGGAUAUAUCCAACUAGAUCCGCCCCAUUGGCAUUCCAGUAUAUUCUGUAAUUGGAAGAGUAUGAAUGACUUAAUUUGUAAUUUUAAAUUUGUAACGUUCAAUUCUAAUUUGAGGAUUCAAAUGAAUUUAUGCGAAUCUAAAAGGGGACUGAAGAUUGGCAUGCAUACAUGCAUACAUAUACAUAUAUAUAUAAAUAGAGAGAGAGAGAGAGAGAGAGAGAGAGAGAGGUAAUAUAACAUUCUUCUUGAUGAAGAUUUUUGUGCCAUACGAAUUAAAGAGAGUAUUGUGUCGAUGUUCGAGGCUAGAGCGACAAUUGGUUACAUUGCUUCAGAGGUGUUUAGUAGAAACUUUGGUGAGGCAUCACAUAAUUUAAAUUACUAGAUUUAGCGAGAUAUAUAUAUUUUCCACAUUGGAUUUACAAGCAUUUCGAGCAGUAUAAUGAAUUAAAAUUACUCGGAAUUGUAAACAGCGAGGAAAGUGAAAUUGCUAAGAAGAUGAAUAUUUUGUUGUUUUGUGGUGUACACGGACUCGUCCAUCGGAUAGGUCGCCCAUGAACAGAGGGAUAGAAAUGUUAUUGCCAAGAAGCAGACUGACUAGCAGUGACGCUUUGAAAAGUCCACCGGACAUCGUCUCCUCCAAGACCACCAAUAGAUUCUUCCACCAUUUCAACGUCGUGACGUGGGGAUCGGAAUUGAAUUAUAGGAUGCUUGUAAGUUUCCUUUGUGGAACUUGUGAAUUUGUGAUGGCAAAAGUCAAUGAUGCAUGUAACUAGCUAGCCCGUGUAGACUCCGUUUUACACUUUUUCAAAACCCAAAAGCACGCUAAAUCUUAAUCUUAAAAGAAUUUUUGAUUCAGUGCUGAAUUUUGGGCUUAUCUUUAAGUAAUCUUUUACCACGCAUGCAUUUUUGUCAUUGUGCAGUCAUCGAUUGCUUCUAAAGAUCGUAAUCCUUAAGAAAAAAUUACUUCUCUUGAAAGUGAAAGCAGGGCAGCUAUUGGCGUAUUGCAUUGCAGCUGCUAUGUGUAGUAGUCAAUUCUUGGAAACAACUAGUUUUCUUAAAUUGUAAACGGUCCCCUUUAUGACUGGGAGAUUUUGAACAAAAUUAAUAUGACGAAUUCUUUGCAGGUGUUGUUCCUUGAAGUCUCAUCUUUCACAAUGUUUCUGAAAUAAAGAUAUUACCAUCUCUGAUUUAAUAUUUAUUCUUGAUUUGUACCACCUAAUCUGAACUUGAUGAAAGAAUAAAGAUUAUGAUCUUGCCUGAUUUUAUUAAUGUGGUCUUAUCUCACGUAAGUCAGUAAUGAAUUAAGGAAAAUUAUCAUUCGUAUACCCUAUAAUUGCUCUGUUAUAAAAAAUACUACAACACUUUGAGGGUGUAUCAAUUGUCCACCCUAAGUUAACAAAAUGUAUCUGUCAUCCACCAAACCGUUAUUUGCCGUUUAAAUAGAAUGACACCAGAGGGGUAAUUUUAUCUUUUCAUAUGAUACAAGUGAUAAUUUAAGGGUAUACAAGUGAUAAUAAAAGAAUUUAAAGGUAUACAAGUGAUAAUUUUAUUUACUUUAAUUUAAGUUUCAAGGGUAAAAUCGUCAAUUCACUAUAAUUCCGUUAACUUUCAAACGGUAGCUAACGGUUUGGUGGUCGGCAGAUAGCUUUUGUUAAUUUAAGGUGGACGAUUGAUAUACUCUCAAAGUGUUGUAGUAUUUUUGAUAAUAGAGCAACUAUAGGAUAUAUGAUUGAUAAUUUCCCAUGAAUUAAUUAAAGUUUACUGUCAAAUUACAAACACAAAAACUGCUGCUGCUUCAUUAUUCACAAUACCUAAAGUCAGUGCAGAACUUAAUAAGUUUUCCAAAAGUUUUACGCUUUCUUUCCCCCAAAUCCCAAGUACUUACUAGAUAUGUCAUGUUUAUACCCAAAGUCAGUGCAGAACUUACUCGAUAUGUCAUGUUUACACAAGAGUUUGUUUAUAAAUAAAUGAGUUGACAAAUAUUUGCCAAAAAAAACGGUGAGUGAUGUCUAGUUCUAUUUUCACAGUUCAGAGUCCAAUUUUGAUUACUGGAAAUUUUAAUUAUGAAGUUGAACUAAGAAUUUGUUAUAAUAUCUUCAACCUUCCUAUACAGUCAUCUGGAAUAAUAAUAUAUCAAAAACAGUAAUAACUCGAUUUACAGGGUGAGAAAGAAAAGAAAGACGCUACGAGGGAAGCAGAGAUUCAAAGACUUCGCCACUUUGUUGGAGGAACAAUUUCAUAAAUCUCCAGAAUAUUGACAUAAAACACAUAACAUACAUAUCUAGCAUUAAGUAUAUUUAUGUAUGUCCAAAGAUAAAAAUUUGAAGAUUAAAUUUAUCAUUUCAAUUUAUGUUCUGCCCAAAGCAAUGGCUUUUAUUCCACAAGCACAAACAAGAAAGAGUACGCACAAAGUUAACAAACACACAUAGCAAACGUGACAUCAACCACUUGCAGCAGCAUCAUCCAGAAACUUCACUCUAAUCUUCUUGAGCUUUUCAGCGGCGUCUUUCGUAGAUGCCCCCUGUUCUGGUGAUUCCAUGCAACAAUCCAAUGCCGAAUGCAUGAUGCUUAAUAAACAAUUCAUUUUAGGAGAAAAAACUUGCUCUUCUCUCACCAAGUUUGCAUCGACAACAUCACUCAAGGCACGAGGUAAUGACUCCCUUACCCAGUCUCUUAAACUUAUUUCUCCUGUAAACAUUUCAUUUGUGGGAUUCUUUCUGGUGAAAGUUUCCAUCAAUAAAACACCAUAACAAUAGACAUCACCUUUGGCCGAAAUCAUUCCUUCUAAUCCUUACUCUGCAUUUUUUUGGUUUCGAUAGAUCAAAUGGAUGUGACAUCAUAAAACAAAUGAUAAACAAAUAGUCUUUUGACAGUCAAGAUGGCCCAAACUUUGACUGUGCUUCGAAAAGAGCGAAAAUUUGAAAUUAUAAUUGAAACCUUACCUGGUGCCAUAUAACCAGUUGUAGCCACUGUCAUGAUUUGGGUCACAGAAUUUUCUUCAUCACCUAAGAGUUCGGAAAUGCCGAACUCACAUGUGCCACCAUAUUUUCAUCCAAGAGAAUGUUGCUAGGCUUCAAAUCACAAUGAAUUACAGGUGCUGAUGAAUGAUCGUGAUGGAGAUAUUCAAGUGCCAGCCGCACAUCUAUCAUUAUAUUCAACCUCUCUAGGAUAUCUAGGAAAUAGUUGUGUGAACACAACCAUUUCUCAAGACUACCAUUGAGCAUGAACUCAAGCACCAGUACUUUAGAAUCUGGAUUGCAACAGCUGCUAGUGAUCUUUGUGAGAUCUUGAUGACGAACAUUCCACAAUACUUCACAUUCAGAAUCAAAACUCCUAAAGGCUCUCUCUAGCUGCAGAUUGAAAACCUUUAUUACAAUAAUAGUCACAUCAUAAAGUGUGCCUUUAUAAACAGAUCCGAAGCUCUCCAUACCUAGCAGGAUACAUUCACUAAAUCCAUCAGCUGCUCGUUGAAUAUCAUGAUAGGAUAGUCUUCUCCAUGUUGUCGAAGAGAACAAAUCUUCUUUAUCUGGAGUUCUUGUUUUCCUAUUUUGAAAUAUUAUGAAGAAUCAUAACAAUUGUUAUUAGUGCAUUGGAUAUAAUCGAAGGCAAAGUAUAUUUCAGGACAAGCAGAGUAGCAUUCUUGGAUCCUUUGCUAUUAUCUUCUUUGCAAGGUGGGACUUGAAGGCCUGGUGGACCACAUAGUGCAUAAUUCUCAAAAAACGAUUGAGCUGAAAUGUUUUUAAAAGGUCCUUUGAUAGGAAUUCCCCCUUCUAGCCUAUUGUGAGACACAUUAAGUUGUUUGAGAUAUGAGAGUGCCUCCAUUGACUUUGGAAUUUCUCCAGAGAGAUUGUUGCUAGGGAGAUCCAAAGAUUCCAACCUUAUCAAACUACCAAAUGAUUUAGGGACCAGACCAUAAAAUUGGUUUCUAGCCAAGGACAAAGUUGCUAGAUCUUUGAGGCCACCAAUACUUACUGGUAUAUCACCUGAUAAUUGAUUUCUUGAUAAAUCAACUCUAUUAAGACCUUUAAGUUUUGUACAUCUGAAGAUAGAUGACCACUUAGAGAAUUUGUUGACAAGUUUACAUACAAGAUGUACUCAAGAUUCCACAAGGAUGAUGGGAUACUAGAAGUGAGCGUGUUGCAGCUUACAAAGAGUGUUUUUAAGGAAUUGAAUAUCUGAAAUCUUGUAUGUAAAUAUUAACACUUAGAGAAUUUGUUGACAAGUUUUUAAGGAUUUACUGAUUAAAUAAUUUUCCAAUUUGUUUGCCUGGAGGAAUUGAAUAGUUAACUGAUUAAAGGAUUUCAAGGUGGUUAGGUCCAGCCGAGCAUUGUAAAUAUUAACGGUCAUUAUGAAUGUGUAAUUCCUAUAUGUGAAAUUGAAUUUCCAUGGUAAAUUUCUGCUAGGGUGUGAUUGUAUGGUAGCCAAUUGUGAGCAACAGAUCCACAUAGUAAUAUAGACUGAAAUUUUGCGUCUUAAGCCAUGAAGAUAUAGAUUUUGGCAAAUAUUAUACAAGCAUUGUUUGCAACACCACAGCUAAUUUGCAGUAGGAUGAAACACUCAGAAUUUUGCCUUUUUCAUGUAUAAAAUUUUAUUUUUUUAAUUGUGAUAUUACAGUUUUGCCCAUCAAGCAUUAUGAAGCUUAAUAUUUGGAUAAAUGUUAGGUUUAAUCUAUAAAUUUUAACUUCAGUGUUUAUUUAGUUUUUAUAUUUUGUAAAAUAUCUCAAGGCAGCCCUAUUAUCAAAUAUUGGCUUGAUCCGUAUAUAUUAACUUCAGUGCUUUAUUUAGGUUUUAUAUUUUGAAAAAUACUUUAAGGCAGUUCUAUUAUCAAAUAUGUUAUGCUCUUGCUUUUAUUUUUUCUUUGUUUUUAUAAUAAUACUCUGAUAACAAUAUUUUUUUACAUUAAUUUUUUAAUCAAUAAAAAGGUAACUAGCAAAUUAACUGAUAAAUUAAUUUGUUAAUUUUUUUAAUCAAUAAAAAAUUUAAUUAAUAAAUUACUUGGUAGCAAAUUAAAAAAUAAAUAUUAGCAUAAAACAAUUGAUAUUUUUCAUUCUCUUACAACAAUCUUACUAAUAAUUUUUUUAUAAAAAAUUAAUUUAUUAAAUUAAUCCUUAAAAGUAAAAUAAUAAUAAUUAAUUUGUAUCUUAGUUUUAAAGUUAAUUUGAUAAAUUCAAUUUUUUAAUUAAUAUCUCCAAAAAUAUAGUUGCAACGAUAUUAUUGCAAAAGUAAAAAAAAAAAUAUAUAUAGAAUUUUAAUAUAACUGCCAGUAAAAAUAACUUGAAAUAUUUUUUAAGAUAUAAAAAUUAAACCAACACUUAAUUAAAAAUAUAAAGAAUUAAAUAAACAUUUAUCUUCUAACAUUUCAACCUACUGGCUAAUGGUCAUACAAUCGUGGUGUGGUCCGGGAUGCCCGGCCCAGCCCAUCAUGCAAAAAGCCAUGUCACCCAUAUUCUUAGGCUGCUACUGCAUUAAAAAAAUGAUAUUAAUAAGCGUACGCCACGUCACUCCUCACUCUCUUCUUCGUCACUUUCCUCUCACUCAACAUUUUCUCCCCAAACAAAUUCCUUCUUUGAAAAAUCGCAUUUUCUCCUUCACAGCAACAGCUACAAUGUCUUCAACUUCCAAAAAGGUGAUUUUUUUUUAAUUUUAUUUUUUGUUUAGUUUCUUUCUGUUGCCUUUUUGUUUCGUUUUUUGAAUUUUCUGUGUCGUUUUUUUCCCCCAAGGUUUUGGUGCCUGUUGCGAACGGGAGUGAGCCGAUUGAGUCCGUGAUAACGAUCGAUGUUUUGAGAAGGUCUGGAGCUGACGUCACGGUUGCGUCUGUGGAGAAACAGCUCCGUGUCGACGCGUGUCAUGGUGUCAAGAUUGUCGCUGAUGCUCUCGUGUCUGACUGCCGCGACGCCGUUUUUGAUCUUAUAGCUCUUCCCGUAUGUAUUGCAGCUCUCCUCAGCUCGUGCUAAUUUAUGUGAUGUUUGUAUAAUUAUAGAUGAUUACUGCUGAUACUGAAUGUUAAGCUAAAUAAUUCGUUCUUAAGUCAUCUUCAUUUAAUUUUCGAUUGAAAAUGAAAAAAAUAAUAAUUUUAAGCAAAGAAAAAUAUAGAAAAUGUUUAUUUUGUUUAAUUUUCAAUUUUUAAUUUUCAGGGAUUUCAUUAUUGUGACUGUUAUCAUUCAUUAUAUGGUCAUAGUUAAAUGUUUCAAAUUGUUGUAGUCAGUGAAAUUCUUUUCGAUAUUUAUUCUGGCAUGUAUAUUUUUCCUUUUCAAUUUCUUUUGUUGCUGAUUCUUUGAUUAUGUUAUAUCCUUUUUUGUUUCCCUUGUAGGGUGGCAUGCCCGGUGCUACCAAUCUGAAGGAAUCUGAAGUAUUAGAAAGCAUUGUGAAGAAGCAGGCCUCAGCUGGGCGUCUUUAUGCUGCUGUCUGUGCUUCACCUGCUGUGGCAUUAGGGUCUUGGGGUCUGUUGAAGGGAUUGAAGGUAAGAGUUAGAUAAGCCUUUUUGAUGUUUUGUGGUCUUUUGGGAAUUGCACUGAUAUUUUUGUUAUGGUUCAGUUUUCUUCUCGCUGAUGAUUGUUAAGUUCUAAUUUAUGUAGUUGUUCAUUUUUCCUAGGCUACUUGUUAUCCGUCAUUUAUGGAGCAACUAGCUCCUGCUUGUGCAGCAUGUUGAAUCAAGAGUACAGCAGGAUGGUAAAGUUGUUACGAGUCGUGGACCGGGCACUACCAUGGAGUUUGCCGUUGCACUUGUUGAGCAGUUGUAUGGGAAAGAGAAAGCUGAUGAAGUUUCUGGGCCACUGGUAUUAGCUUUUAUAGAUAACGUUGUUUAAAAAAAUUAUGAGUUAUAUAAUUUGUGGAAGCUUCAGAUGCUAAUGUAUUCAAGAAAAUAAGUUCAGGGGAAGAGUAUGACUUUUUGCAUUAGUGAUUCAUUAGAUGAAAUUGUAUACCUGCUGGUCCAUCAUAAGGUGGUGAAAACAAUGUUUGAUUUAAUUAAUGAAAUCCUGAAAUAUGCAUUUGUUGAGCUUCAAUGUCUCCACUGAUAAAAUUCUUUUUAAUGUAAGUUCUUUCUCUUGGUAUUGUAUUUGAAUUUUCUGUUCCUCAUGCUUUCGUCUUUACUGUCACCUUGUGCCUAGGUAAUGCGUGCAAAUCAUGGAGAUGAAUACACUAUUGCUGAGUUCAAUCCAAUUCAGUGGACAUUUGACAAUUCUCCUCAGGUGAGAUUGGACUGUUAGUUUCUUGUAUUUGUUUUUCUUCUUCCAUGUUUUGAGGGAUACCCAUUUGGCAGUAAAUAAAAAUCUGUGAUAUCUUCUAUACAUGUACAUAUACAUCAUUGACUUCACUCAUUUGUGAACAUAUUGGAGGUAGUAGAUUUAUUGUUAUGAUAUGUCUAAUAAAAUCCAAAGUUCGAUGCAACUACAAAAGAAGUAUGAGCAGUGCUCGACCAGAGAGGAAAAAGGUGGUUUUUUUCUUUUUUUUUUUUGGGGGGGGGGGGGGGGUUGGUUGGGUGGCAAAGGGAAUGAUAAGUUCAGGGUAUCAACAAGCUGUAAAAUGGCUAUCGAAAAACUGAUAUUUCACAUUAGAGAAUGUGAGGACCUGAAGAUUGCUGACUUGUGGUCAAAAUGGAAUUCUUGAUAACUUUAAAUGUUAAAAAUUCUUGGUGAAAAUUUUGUACUUUUUUUUCUUUCAGAUUCUUGUGCCUAUUGCGAAUGGUUCAGAGGAGAUGGAAGCUGUUAUAAUAAUUGAUAUUCUGCGACGAGCUAAAGCAAAUGUUGUGGUUGCGUCAGUUGAGGAUAAACUAGAAAUUCUGGCUUCUCGUCAAGUUAAAUUAGUGGCAGAUAUGCUUAUUGAUGAGGCAGCUAAACUUUCGUAUGAUUUGAUUGUCUUGCCAGUAAGUGGGGUUGCUAACUCUUGCCUCAUAGUCUUUACCAAAUUAUUGACUUACUAGCUACAAUUUAUCUAUGCACAGGGUGGACUUGGUGGUGCUCAAGCAUUUGCGAAGUCAGAAAAAUUGGUAAAUAUGCUAAAGAAGCAAAAGGAAUCAAAUAGACCUUACGGUGCUAUAUGUGCAUCCCCAGCACUAGUGUUGGAGCCCCAUGGCUUACUCAAGGUAUGACCAUUUCUGCUUAAAUAUUUAUUCUUGAUUUGAAUCACCUAAUCUGAACUUGAUAAAACAUUGUGAUCUUGUGUGAUUUUAUGAACGUGGUCUUAUCUCAUGUAAGUCUGUAAUGAAUUUAUUGAAGUUUGCUGACAAAUUACAAACUCAAAAACUGCUGCUGCUUCAUUAGUUACAGUACCCAAGGAGUUAUGAUAGACAUCCCAAACUUUUUACCCCAAAUUCCCUCUCAAAUGACAUGGUAGUUAUUAAGUGGUUGGUAAUUUUUUAUAAGAUAUAAGUGAAUUAAUUAAUUAUAUUAUUUAAUCAACCAAUUGAUGAAUGUCACGCCAUUUGAGAUGAAUUUUUGGGAUGUGUAGCAAAACUUUAUGCUGAUUUGUUUUGGCUACAUUCAUGUAAAACAUUUUUCCCCAAAUCCCAAGAACUUCCCGCAAUAUCAUUCCUUUGUAUUUGUUUUCCCCUUUAGACAUGUUUAACUUUGGUUCAGGGUAAAAAGGCUACGGCUUUUCCUGCCAUGUGCAACAAGCUAUCAGAUCAAAGUGAAAUCGAAAACAGGGUUGUGGUUGAUGGCAACCUUAUCACCAGCAGAGGGCCAGGAACUUCCAUGGAGUUUGCACUGGCAAUUGUGGAGAAGUUUUUUGGCCGCAACAAAGCACUUGAGCUUGCAAAGAUAUUGCUUUUCACCCGCACCUAAAAUUUGUACCAGGACCCGACUAAUAUUAAACUAGAGUGUUUAUUUCUGUAUUACUACUGCUUGUAGAGAGGCGAAAUGGAAACUUGAAUUCAUGUUUGAAUAGGGAUUCACUGUGCGGGUUUGUACAAGAGCUUGUUUAUAAAUAAAUGAGUUCAUAAAGAGUCAUUUUAAAUAUUUGGAAUAAACGUGAGUUGCUGUUUAGUUCUGUUUUCAAUGUUCACCGUUCAAUUGUGAUCCAGAGCAAUAUAACUACACUCACUGGGAAUUUUAAUUAUGAACCAAGAACGAAGUUGAACCGAGAAUUUGAUACUUUAUAUAUUCCAGUUACCAUAUUUAAGAAAGAGUAUUGAAAAGAAAGACGCUAAGAGAGAAUAUUGAAGUUAAACAGAUACCAUAUCUAGUAUUAAGUCUGUAUGCCAAAGUUACAAAUUCGAAGAUCAGAUUCCUCAUUUCAAUUUAUGUUCUGCUCAAAACAAUGGCUCUUAUUCCACAAGCACAAACAAGAAAGAGUACGAACAAAGUUAACAGAGACACGCAGUGAAAAUUACGCUAAUUGGUUGCAGCAGCAUCAUCCAGGAACUUCACUUUAAUCCUCUUGAGCUUUGCUGCAGCGUCUGUCAUAUUUAUCCUCAUGUCGGGUGACUCCAUACAACAAUCCAAUGCCAAAUCCAUUAUGCUUAAUAUACAAUCCAUUUUGGCAGAAAAAGCUUGCUCUUCUCGCACCAAAUUUGCGUCAACAACUUCACUCAAUCCGUGAGGUAAUGACUCCUUUACCCAUGUCCUUAAACUCGUUUCUCCUGUGAACAUUUCAUCGGUGGGCCUCUUUCUCGUGAAAGUUUCCAUUAAUAAAACACCAUAGCUGUAGACAUCACAUUUAGCUGAAACAAUUCCUUCUGAUCCAUACUCUGCAUUUUUUUUAAUUUCAAUUAUGAAACAAAUGAUAAAACAAAUAAGUUUUUGAUAAUUAAGGUAACCCAAACUUUGCUCGUACUUGAAAAAAGAGUAAAAAUUUUAAUUACAAUUGAAACUUUACCUGGUGCCAUAUAACCAAUUGUAGCCAUUGUCAUGGUUUGUGUCACAGAAUCUUCUUCUUCACCUAAGAGUUUGGAAAUGCCGAAGUCGCUCACAUGUGCCACCAUAUUUUCAUCCAAGAGAAUGUUGGGAGGCUUCAAAUCACAAUGAAUUAUAGGUGCCGACGAAUGACCAUGAUGGAGAUAUUCAAGAGCCGACCCCACAUCUAUCAUUAUAUUCAACCUCUCUAGAAUGUCUAAGAAAUAGUUGUGAGAAUACAACCACUUCUCGAGACUACCAUUUGGCAUGAACUCAAGUACCAAUGCUUUAAAAUCUGGAUUAGAACAACUGCUAAGGAUCUUUAUGAGAUUUCGAUGACGAACAUUCUGUAAAACUUCACAUUCAGAAUCAAAACUCCUAAAUGCUCUCUCUAGUUGCAGAUUGAAAACCUUUAUCGCAACAUCAGUCCCGUCGGAAAUGGUUCCUUUAUAAACUGAUCCAAAGCUACCUGUACCAAGCAAGUUACAUUCAUUAAAUUCAUCAGUUGCUCGUUGAAUGUCUAGGUACGAUGUUCUUCUCCAUGUUGCAAGAGAUAGGAAAUCUUCGUGAUCUGAUUUUCUUGUACUUCUAUUUCGGCAUCUUCUGUACAUAAUGAUGGUAAUCACUAUAAGGACCGUGGAUACUAUCGGAGGCAAAAUAUAUUUAAGGACAAUUAGAGCAACUUUCUUGGUUCUUUUGCUGUUAUCUUGCUUGCAAGGUGGGACUCGAAGUUUAGGUGGACCACAGAGUGCAUAAUUUCCAAAAAAUGAUUCAGCUGACUAGUUUUUAAAAGACCCCUUAACAGGAAUUUCCCCUUCUAGCAUAUUUUGAGACACAUUAAAUUGUUUGAGAUGUGAAAGUGCCUCCAAUGACUUAGGAAUUUUUCCAGAGAAAUUGUUGCCGGAGAGAUCUAAGGAUUCUAAGCUUAUCAAACUGCCAACUGAUUCAGGGAUAGGUCCUUGAAAUUGAUUACUAGCCAAGGAUAGAGUUUCUAGAUCUACGAGGGCACCAAUGGUUGAUGGAAUAUUACCUGAUAAUUGAUUCCUUGAUAAAUCUAAAACUCUCAAGACCUUUAACUUUUGUACAUUGGAAGGGAGAGAAUCAUUUAAUGAAUUUGACGACAAGUUUAUCUCUAAGAUGUACUCAAGGCUCCACAAGGAUGACGGUAUACUAGAAGUGAGCUUGUUGGAGCCUAAGCGGAGUUCUCUUAGAGAUGUCAAACUCGCCAAGCAUGGCGGUAUAUGUCCAGAGAGCUUAUUUCCAUUUAACCUUAUUCCGUACAUCAACUCCAAGUGGCAAAGAUCAUAGGGAAUGGAUCCUUCCAAAUUAUUGUCUUCAAGAGAUAAACCUUGUAGCUGCUGUAAUGUUCCUACAGAUGUUGGAAUAGUUCCGUUCAAGUCAUUGAAGUCGAGGGUUAAGAGGAUCAAGCCACGUAAAUUACCAAUUUCUUUAGGAAUGCUGCCCCCGAGUUUGCACUCGUAAGCAUAAAAGCUUUGAAGAGAAGCAGAGAAAUUUCCAAUUAAUGGUGGAAGGAUGCCACCUAAUGGAUUAGAAUCUAAGACUAAAUAGGAUAGCUUUCUACAAUUAGUCAAAGAAGAGAGAAAACUCCACUGAUCUGCUGAAGAUGAUUCUGUCGUCAAGUUAUUCGUUCGUAUGCUGAGCACGUUGAGGUGCCUCAAGUUGCCAAAUGUAUUUGGUAUAUGGCCUGAGAAUGAGUUAGAGCCCAAGUCUAGACCAAUGAGUUUGGAAGCAUUGGUAAGAGAGUCAGGAAUUGUCCCGAUAAGAUUAUUGAUCGCCAAGGUUAAAUACUCUAUGUUCGGAAGCGAGUGGCCUAUCGUUGAUGGUAGGCGGCCUGAGAAUUGGUUGCUGUGUAGAUUAAGGACUCUUAUGGUUGAAAUAUUGAAGAUCGCGGGUGGAAUGAGGCCACUUAAAUUAUUCGUACCAAGAGCAAGACUCUCCAAAUUUUGUAGAUUGCCAAUCUCGGUUGGAAUUUGAUCUGUCAUAUCGAUUAAACCAACAUUGAUGAGUUAUUGAAUUUUUUGCUAAACAUAAAUUUAAUUUCAAAAUUCAUGAAAAUCAAAAUUUCCCACAAAAUAUGUGUUAUUAGUUUUAUAAUAAUUUAGGGGGUAAUGAUAUUUCUACCCCAUGAUUUUUGUAAAACACACAUGCUUUUAGAAAAUUAUUACCGCAAGAUCACAUUAUUCUUAAAAAUUCAAAUUAAGAAGAAGUUUCUAGAAUUAAUCAAUUAAAUCCAUAUUAAUUUAUAUUUGAAACUUAUAUUCUUUUAUUAUAUUUAAGUACUAAGGUUGUUUUAACAUAAAUUUAAUUGACUAUUUUACCCUCCUAAGGUAAAAGUACUAAAAUCCUCAAAAAUUUACUUCAACUAAACUAACAAAAUGUAUUUAUGACCUAUGGGGCAUUAAAAAUAUUGAAUUUUAUUUUUAAAAUAUUAUAUUACAAAACAUAAAACUAUAUGCUAGAUACUAUAGUACAUGUUUCUUGGGGUAAUAUAGUCAUUUUACAUUAUAAGGAUGAAAUAGUCAAAUUAAACUUAACUUGAAGCACCCGUAAAUGCCAAAAAUUGUUAAAAGACCUAAGUCAUAAAAGAAAAUUAUUAUCAGAAUAAUUUAUUUAGUUAAUUAUCUGACUUAUUGUUAAUUUAUAAUUUUAUAAGCUAUUGUGAACUUAUUGCAAUUAUCUAAUGGAGAUGAGGGGGGGUUUUGCAAGAAUAUGAGCGGCAGUAUUGCCACUCUAUAAAAUAAAAAGAAUUAUGCAGUCAUGCAAAUGCAAAUAUGCUGAACUUACCUUGCAGGUUGUUAUGACGAAGAUCCAAAUCAAAAAGGUUGCUCAAAUUUCCUAUCCCUGAAGGAAUAUUUCCAUCAAUAACGUUGAAACUUGCUUGUAACAUCUCCAAUUUCGAUAAGUUGAAGAGAGAAUUUGGGAUUGGACCCGUGAUAUUGUUAUUACGAAGACUCAUUAUUUGUAAUUUGGAUAAGACACCAAUCCAAGUUGGAAUGCUUCCACUCAAUUUAUUGAAACUGAAACUAAUGAAUUUGAGUCGGCCUAAUUUCCCCAAUUCAUUAGGUAGAUGGCCAUAAAAAUUGUUCAAAGUAACAUCAAGAGACAUUAGGAAUGAGAGAUUUCCCAGGUGUGGGGGAAUAGUGCCUCCGAGACCCAUGCCUGAAAGAUUUAAAGCCUUGACUCUUUGAUGGCGUGAAUCACAAGAAAUACCAACCCAGCUGCAUAUUGGAUGAGAUAUAGACCAAUUAUUUGCUAGGACACUCCGAUAAUCACCGACGUGGGCUUUGAAUGCAAGAAGAGCUGAUUGAUCUGUUAAAUUGUUUAAAGUCGUCGUAGCUAAGUUAGCUAUGGAAUAUUGUAACAACAUAGGAACAAAGAAGAACGAUAGGCGCAUAUUGGUCGUUUUUAAUAGAUACAGCAACAUAAUUGCUAGGUGAGAUUGAAACAAGUUUGAAGUGAAGGAAAUUAGCAUAUACUUAUACAAGAGACAUGAAUUUGAAAACAAGAAAAGAAAAAAUAUACAGGAGACUUGCAAACUGUUAUAUUUUGUCAUUAAGCGAGUCGUCCAAGUAAACGCACGUAUGGACUUGCAAAUUGUUAAACGUCGCUGUACUUGAACCGUAAACAAAGGGUGUGUUUGGUUGGAGGAUUAAAAGUGGGGAUUAGACACUUUUUUUUUUUUUUAAAUUUUAUCCUUAUCUCAUGUUUGGUGCUGUCAAGGGUAUUAGGAUUUAGUUAUCUUGAACUCACAAGCUAAUCUUAAUUUUGUAAAGGAAAUUAUCCCAAGAGGGGUCAUGGGAUUAGUUAGUAUUGGAUUAUAUUGAUAACUCAAUUAAACAUAAUAAUUUAUAAAUAUUAAAAUUAUAGUAAUAUGUGAUAAAUGUAAUAAAAAAAUAUUGAUUUUAAUAAUGUAAAUAAUAAAUUAUACUAAAAAUCAUUAUUAAUUUCACAUUAAAUUAAAAUUCUAUUUUACUUUAUUUAAUUAUUAAAUAUUUUUUAUAAUUCCAAAUUUACGUUAUAAAUUAAUUAUUAAAUUAGUAUUCAAAAAGAUAAAUUUUUAUAAAAUAAUAGAUUAUUGAAUAAAUAUCAUAUAAAUAUCAUAUACAUAUUUAACAAAAUAAUAAUUAUUUAAAUUAUGAUUUCUAUUUCUUUAACGUCAUUGAGGUUGAUUUGUAUAAUUAAUAAUACAAAAUUUUAGUUUAUAAUAAUAUUAAUAAUAAUAAUAACUUGUAAAUUGUAAUAUUAUAAUGUAAAACAUGAUUAUUUAUAGUCCAAUCUAAUAUUGUACCAAACACAAUAUAGUAUUAUAUAUAAUCCACUAUUAUUCAAUCCAAUUCAAUUUUAUCCAAUUUAAUCUAAUCUAAUUCAAUCAAAUCCGGCGGACCAAACCAGCCCAAAGGGUUUAUGGCCCUUUACUUACCAAACAGAAAAAGAUGCUCAACAUUGACAUCUUUGACCCAAUCCAAAUCUAAUCCAUACAUCUGCGGAUCAGAUGCAGAUUUAACCUAAUCCAUAUCCAAUCCACCAUUUUACGGAUUGGUUUGUAGACUGAAAAAUAUUAUAAGAAUAAUUUAUUAAUUGUUCAGACUUAAUUUAUAAUUCUAUAAGAUAAUGUGAACUUAUUAUAACUAUCUUAUCAAAAUGAGGUGGGAUUGCAAGAAUAAUGAGUAGAAAUAUCCCCAACCGAUAAAAUAAAAAGAAUUUUACAGCUAUACAAAUGCAAAUAUGUAGAACGUACCUUGUAGGUUGUUAUAAGCUAGAUUCAGAUACAAAAGAUUGCUAAAAUUUCCUAUCGCUGAAGGAAUAUUUCCAUCAAUGACGUUGUACGUUGCGUGUAACGCCUUCAGCCUCGAUUAAUUGAAGAGAGAAUUUGGGAUUGGACCCGUGAAACUGUUAUUACGAAGACUCAACACUUGUAAUUUGGAUAAGACGCCAAUCCAUGUUGCAAUGCUCCCACUCAAUUUAUUGAAAGUGAAACUAAUGAAUAUGAGUCGGCGUAAUUGCCCCAAUUCAUUAGGUAGAUUGCCAAGAAAAUUGUUCAGGCUAACAUCAAGAGAUUCAAAUGAAUUUUUGAUGGCGCGAACCGCAAGAAAUGCCAAUCCAGGUACACAUUGGAUAAGAUAUAGACCAAUUAUUUGUCAGGAUACUUCGAUAAUCAACGACACGGGCUUUGCAUGCAAGAAGAGCCGAUUGAUCGGUUGUUAAGAUGCAAUAGUGAGUAGUGAAAGUGGUUUGAGGUGGAGAUGCACCGGGAUCUACGGCCAUCCUGAGUUCAGCCAGAAGCAUAAUACUUGGACUCUCAUGAAAAGGUUAGCCAGCCUAUUUUCCUAUCCUUGGUGCUGUUUUGGUGAUUUUCAAUGAGAUAAUGCAUAUGCAUGAGAAAAACGGGGGCAAUGAGAGAAACCUGAAUAGGGUUGCCGAGUUUAGGGAAGCUGUGCAAAGCUGCAAUUUGCAGGAUAUGGGGUGUAAGGGAUAUCCCUAUACGUGGUCAAACAAAAGAUACAGAGAUCAUUUUAUUGAUGAGAGAUUGGACCGUUUUCUGUGUAGUAAAGAUUGGGGGAUUAAUUUUCAAGAAUCUGUAGGCACAAAUCUAGUGAACUGGUCUUCGGACCACUGCCCAAUCAUUCUAGAUUUCCAUGAGCGAAGCCAAAAUUCGAGACAUGCGGGCAAAUCUCUCCCCCGAGAUUAUUAUGAGGAUAUGUGGAGCUCCCACGAAGGCUGUAGGAGUAUAGUCCAGGAAGAGUGGAGCCGGUAUGGGGCUAGAGCUUGGGAAGCCCCUGUUCAGCAAUUUCAAUGAAUAGCCAAAUCUUCCUUGGCCCAGCUAAAACUUUAGAGCAAAACCGAAUUUCAUGGUAGGCAAAGAAAGUAAGAAAAGCUUAUGCAGAGCCUCCAGGAUGCUAUGAGAGGGAAUUCAAAGCUGGAUGAUGGCCAGGAAAUUAGGAGAUUGGAAAGUCAGAUUAACUCUAUGCUAGUUGAUGAGGAGAUUUACUAGAAACAGCGUUCGAGGGCCGACUGGCUUAGAGAAGGGGAUAAGAACACGAAGUAUUUUCACGCCAAAGCAUCUGCCCGCAAAAGGAAGAACAAGGUGUGGGGGAUUGAGAAUGACCAGGGCAUUUGGUUGAAGGAAAGGGAUGAAAUAGAGGAGGAGAUUUGCAGCCAUUUCCAAAAGCUUUUCACUACUUCCAGCCCGACUCCAAGCCAAAUCCAAGCAACCCUUCAAGGCAUGACAACAAAAGUAACUCCGGAGAUGAAUGUUCAGCUGGAGAAGCCGUUCACCGCUGAAGAUGUUGAGGAAGCCCUUGCCAACAUGUGUCCCACAAAGGCCCCAGGGCCUGAUGGUCUUCCAGCUGCCUUCUUCCAGAAGCAUUGGAAAUCUGUCCGUAACAGAGUGAUCUCAACGUGCCUUAAUGUCCUUAAUGAGCAAGGUAACCCAUCUACCCUCAAUCACACCUUUAUAGCUUUGAUUCCAAAAAUUGCAAAUCCUAGGAAAGUGAGUGAUUAUAGACCUAUCAGCCUCUGUAAUGUUAUUUAUAGAGUUGUAGCUAAGGCCAUUGCAAAUAGAAUGAAGCCGAUCUUUUCCCAAAUCAUCUCCCCUAUGCAAAGUGCAUUCAUCCCCAAUAGGCUCAUUACCGACAAUGUUAUUAUUGGUUAUGAAUGCCUUCAUAAAAUUAGGCAUAGCAAAGGGAAGAAGAACGGACUUGUAGCUUUAAAAUUGGAUAUAAGUAAGGCUUAUGAUAGAGUUGAGUGGCCUUUUUUGGAACAAACUAUGCUAAAGAUGGGGUUUCCUAGUAAUUGGGUAGCUCUGAUAAUGAGAUGUGUUAUUUCCACUUCAUUCUCGGUGCUAAUUAAUGGUGUGCCAAAAGGAAUGAUCCAGCCAAAAAGAGGCUUGCGACAGGGCUGCCCGCUAUCCCCGUACCUUUUUAUCCUUUGUGCAGAGGCUCUCUCCAAUUUGCUGGUUGUGGCAGAACAGAACCAGCUAAUCCAAGGGCUCAAAUUUGCGCGGGAAGUUUCAAUUACGCACUUGCUGUUUGCGGACGAUAGCUUGGUAUUCUCUCGUGCAUCAGUGGCUGAAUGCAGGCAUUUAAAAGAAAUGUUUGAUAAAUAUGCUGCAGCAUCAGGGCAGAUUUUUAAUUUUCAGAAAUCCUCACUGUUCUUCAGUGGAAAAAUUCCAGAGCAUCAACGGGCUGCUAUAAGGGGUAUCUUUAAUCUAAAUGUAGUCUCAAAGCAUGAGAAAUACCUUGGCCUACCAUCAAUGAUUGGGAGAAAGAAGAUGGGGUUCUGUAACGACAUCAAGCUGAAAGUGUUGAACAAGAUUGCAGGAUGGCAGCAUAAAAUGUUGUCUAGUGGGGGGAAGGAAGUUCUGAUCAAAGCGGCAGCCCAAGCAAUUCCGGCGUAUGCAAUGAGUGUUUUCAAGCUCCCAAGAGGCUUUUGUGAUGAUAUUCAGCGAGCUAUAGCGAAGUUCUGGUGGGGCUCGAAAGGGGAUAAGCACGGAAUCCAUUGGCGAAAAUGGGAGAAGCUCAGCCAGGCAAAGAUUAGAGGGGGGCGGGGAUUUCGAGAGUUUUCUUGCUUCAAUCAAGCGCUGGUAGCUAAGCAAGCUUGGAGGUUACUGCAGUACCCAAAUUCGCUGGUCUCCAAAGUCCUUCAAGCAAGAUAUUUCAGGAAUUCCAGCUUUUUAUGUGCAAAGGCAGGAGCCAAUGCCUCGUAUAUUUGGAGAAGCAUCAUGUGGGGUAGGCAGGUGAUUAAGAAGGGUAUGAGAUGGCAGAUAGGUAAUGGCAAGAAGGUAGCAAUUUUCUCGGAUAACUGGCUGCCAAGACCAGAGACCUUCAGACCUAUCUUCCCUCCAUCUUUGCCCGUAAGCUCAGUUGUUGCAGAUUUAAUUAAGGCUGAUAAUCAAUGGGAUGAAAUAAAGCUUCGACAGCACUUCAUGGAUGUAGACACAGCAGAGAUCCUCAAGAUUCCCCUCCCAACUGAGAAAGAAGAAGAUGGAGUGCUUUGGGAUUACGACAAAAGAGGGAACUACUCUGUCAAGAGUGGGUAUCAGCUAGCAUUGAGAUCAAAAUUUCCAGAUUCCACCAGCUGCACAGAGGCUUCCCACAAGUACUGGAGUGCCCUUUGGACACUGGAGUUGCCUGCGAAGCUUAAAAUUUUCAUGUGGAGGGCCUCUAAUAAUCUGCUUCCAUCGGUGGAAAAUCUGUGGAAAAGGAAGGUAGUGGAGGAGCCAACUUGUAAGCGAUGCAAACUGAGUGUUGAGACUAUCAGCCAUGCUCUCUUGGAGUGUAAGGUAGCGAGAAAAAUUUGGCUCCAAUCCCCCUUUUCAGGCCUUAGAUUAGAAGCCAAUUCUCAGGACAUUUUCAGCACUUUGCAAAAUAUGGCUAAGGAGAUGAGGAAAUCAGAUCUGGAAUUAAUGGUAGCUCUGUGUUGGUCUGCCUGGUAUGCUAGGAACAAAUGUAUCUUCGAUGGCAGGGAGAUUAAUCCUAUUAUAUCAGCUGCUAAAGCGGAGUCUGUUUUGUCAGCUUUUCAGAGAGUUAGGAAGCCCCAGCAAGCUCACAUCUCUAUCUUCAUAAAAGAGAAGCAGCAGGAGUGGCUCCCCCCUCCCCCGAAUGUUUUUAAAGUUAAUGUGGAUGCUGCUCUUAAUUCAAAGAAUCUGAGUGCAGGAGUGGGAACUGUGAUUAGAGACUCUAAUGGAAAGAUAGUUGCGGCUGGGGUAAAUCAGAACCUCCUAAAGGGGUCAGCUAGCUUGGCUGAAGCAGAGGCGGUGCUUUGGGGCCUUCAGCUGGCGAGAAAGGCGGAUGUAUCCUCUUUGAUUAUUGAGUCUGAUUGUUUAGAGGUGGUCCAGCUAGUGAACAACACCAAGGGCAGCAGAUCAGAAAUUUUUUGGACAAUUCUGGCAAUCCAAAACCAGAUGAAGAACUUCCAGAAAGUGGUUGUCAAUCACAUUCCAAGACAUUGUAAUGCUUGUGCCCAUUACCUAGCUAAGAUAGCUUUGGGGAAAAUCUCUCCCUGUAUGUGGCUGGGAAAUAUUCCAGCUGAAUUGUAUGGUAUUAUCAAGGUGUUGUGAUUAAUGAAAGGUUUACUUUCUUUUCAAAAAAAAGAAGAAUGAUAAGCGCAUAUUGGUCUUUUUUUUUAGAUGCGUCCAUCUAAUUGCUAAGUGAAGUUGAUACAAGUUUUAAGUGAAGGAAAUUAGCAUAUGCAUAUACAAGAGGCGUAUGAAUUUUGAUAACAAGAAAAGAAAACAAUAUACAGGAGAGUGGAGGCUUGCAAAUUGUUAUAUUUCAUUAUUUAGCGAGUCGUCCGAGUAAACGCGUAUAGACUUUUAAAUUGUUAUACGCCGCCGUACUUGAACCGUGAAUAAAGGGCUUAUGGCACUUGAGUUACCAAAAAGAAGAAGAUGCUCAACAUUGGCAAGGCCUAUGCAUUCUGUCCAUUUGUUCACGUUUUGCCGAGGCUCAUGGCAACCACAAUAUGUUCUUUUUCUUUCCUCUAAAAAACAAAAAGACGACCUUCACAUUUGGGCUAAUAAUUAUCACUAAACAAUUAAUAAUGCUGAGGGCUAGUGGUAAUGUAGCUUUAAAAUAAUUGUUAUUAGUUGCGCCUUAAAAAUAAAGAAAUAAAGAUAGUUAUACUAUACCCCCACAAUUUAAUAAAAUAAUCAUGUAAAUUUCUAAACUUUUAACAAUAUACACCAAGACCCCUUAUGUUACUUUUUACCAUUUAUUUGGAUGUCACAUGCUUUUUUUUUUUUUUUUUUAAAUUUUUCACUGCAGAAAUUAAAUGCUAAAUUUACUGUUAUUCCCAUAUCAUGUCAUCGCUUGCUUCUACACAUAUUGAUUGUUUUUCCAAAGUUUAAAAUUGAAUUAAAAACAUUCUAAUUAACCUAAAAAUUAAAAAAAAAACUCAUCCAACCAGAUAUAAAUCUUCUAAUUAACCUAAAGAUAAGCUACACCCCCAUAUUAAUUCCAAUUAAAUAAAUCUUCAUUUUUGUCAUGGUUUUGGAUCUCGAGCAGGGUGGAUACAUCCAACCAGAUCCGCCCCAUUGGCAUUCCAAUAUAUUAUGGAAUUGGAAGAGUAUCAAUGACUUAAUUUGUAAUUUUAAAUUUGUAACGUAUAAUUCUAAUUUAAGGAUUCAAAUUAAUUUAUGCGGAUCUAAAAGGGGACUGAUGAUGGGCAUGCAUACAUACAUGCAUACAUAUAUUUACAUAGAGAGAGAGAGAGUGAGGUAAUAUAACAUUCUUCUUGAUGAAGAUUUUUGUGCCAUACGCAUUAAAGAGAGUAUUGUGUCGAUGUUGGAGGCUAGAGGGACAAGUGGUUACAUUGCUUCAGAGGUGUUUAGUAGAAACUUUGGUGAGGCAUCACAUAAUUUAAACUACUAGAUUUAGCGAGAUAUAUAUAUUUUCCACAUUGGAUUUACAAGCAUUUGGAGCAGGAUAAUGAAUUUAAAUUACUCGGAAUUGUAAACAGCGGAAAGUGAAAUUGCUAAGAAGAUGAAUAUUGUUGUUUUGUGGUGUAUACGGACUCGUCCAUCGGAUAGGUCGCCCAUGAACAGAGUGAUAGAAAUGUUAUUGCAAAGAAGCAGACUGACUAGCAGUGACGCUUUGAAUAAAUCCACCAAACAUCUUCUCCUACAAGACCACCAAUAUAUUCUUCCACCAUUCAACGUCGUGAUGUGGGGAUCAGAAUUGAAUUAUAGGAUGCUUGUAAGUUUCCUUUGUGGAACUUGUGAAUUUGUGAUGGCAAAAGUCAAUGAUGCAUGUAACUAGCCGGCCCGUGUAGAGGCCGUUUGACUCAUAAAUAUUUGUCACUUUCACUCUUUUUCAAAACCCAAAAGCACGCUAAAGCUUAAUCUAAAAAGAAUUUUUGAUUUAGUGCUGACAUUUUGGGCUCACCUUUGAGUAAUGUUUUACCACGCAUGCAUUUAUGUCAUUGUGCGGUCAUCCUUUACUUCUAAAGAUCGUAAUCUUUAAGAAAAAAUUACUUCUUUUGAAAGUGAAAGCAGGCCAGCUAUUGGCGUAUUGCAUUGAAGCUGCUAUGUGUAGUAGUCAAUUCUUGGAAAGAACUAGUUUUCUUAAAUUGUAAAUGGUCCCCUUUAUGACUGGGAGAUUUUGAACAAAAUUAAUAUGAUGAAUUCUUAGCAAGUGUUGUUCCUUGAAGUCUCAUCUUUCACAAUGUUUUUGAAAUAAAGAUAUUACCAUCUCUGACUAAAGAUUUACUCUUGAUUUGGACCACCUAAUCUGAACUUGAUGGAUGAUUAUGAUCUUGCCUAAUUUUAUGGAUGUGGUCUUAUCUCACGUAAGUCAGUAAUGAAUUAAUUAAAGUUUACUGUCAAAUUAUGAACUGAAAAACUGCUGCUACUUCAUUAUUCACAAUGCCCAAAUUCAGUGCAGAACUGAUUAUAAGUUUUCCGAAAGUUUUACGCUUUCUUUCCCCCAAAUCCCAAGUACUUCCUGUAAUAUCAUUCCCCUAUAGAUGUCUUCCCCUGAGACAUUUUUAACUUUGGUUCAGGGUAACAAAGCUAUAGCUUUUCCUGUCGUGUGCAACAAGCUAUUAAAUUAGAGUAUUUAUUUCUGUAUUACUACUAGUAGUAAGAGAGGCGAAAUGGAAUCUUGAAUUCAUGUUUAUACAACAGUUUGUUUAUAAAUAAAUGAGUUGAUAACAAGUCAUUUUAAAUAUUUGCAAAAAAAAAAACGGUGAGUGAUGUCUAGUUCUAUUUUCAAUGUUCAGAGUCGAAUUUUGAUUACUGAAAAUUUUAAUUUAUGAAGUUGAACUAAGAAUUUGUUAUAAUAUAUUCCACCUUCCUAUACAGUCAUCUGGAAUAAUAAUAUAUCAAAAACAGUAAUAACUUGAUUUACAGGGUGAGAAAGAAAAGAAAGACGCUACGAGGGAAGCAGAGAUUCAAAGACUUCGCUACUUUGUUGGAGGAACAAUUUCAUAAAUCUCCAGAAUAUUGACAUAAAACACAGAACAUAUCUAGCAUUAAGUAUAUUUAUGUAUGUCCAAAGAUAAAAAUUCGAAGAUUAGAUUUAUCAUUUCAAUUUAUGUUCCGCCCAAAGCAAUGGCUUUUAUUCCACAAGCACAAACAAGAAAGAGUACACAAAGUUAACAAACACACAUGUUGAUGCGAGAUUCUGGUUGUCCUCGUUCUACGACCAGGGUCUCUGCUCGAUCAACUUCACCACGACCAGGAUCUCUCCUCGUAAAGCUUCUUCUCCAGAGGUUCCUGCGCACACAGACAGGUCAGAGUACGCCGGUUUUUUUCCCGGCGCAAACCCUCCAACGCUCAAGUCAGAAAUAGGGGUUCUGGGAAUGUUUGCCACGAAUCUUAUGGCUUCUUUUUAAUCUCAGUUCUCGGAACUUUCUUUUCUUAGUUCUAAUAGCAAAAAGUCUAACCCUUUUACCUUUGCUGGCUACUUUUUUAUAGGCUUCCUCUGAAUCCCGGUCUUCCGUAGUCCACGCCCAUUACUCUUCCCACCCUCGGAUGUGGAUGCCCCAUUGUCGUCAUUGUGGGCGAAUGGAGAUGGACUUCGUGCCUUGAUUCUCGGAUAGGAACGCACGUCUUGCCAACUGUCGUUGACCGGGUCUCCUCGCCUCGACCCCUAGCAGGAAUGGCCUUAUGCCUCUAACAGGAGUUCGUCCUCGUGAAUGGCAUAUUUGUGGACGAGCAGAAUAUUCCUGCUCCUGUUCCCUUGCUACCAGGCUCUUACAGGACAUACCUGUUCGCAGAACUCUGCCACCAAAUAUAUGCUCAUCAUGUCUGGUCUCGUCGAAGUAUUUCCCUCAAACACCGGUCCCCCAGUUUCUGGUGUUGGGUAAUGUAAUGGACCAGCAGUAGAAACUCAACAGUUCUUGCUCGCGUGAGACUUGAAAAGGCUGCCAAGAGUCGUGUCGCAUUUAAUUGCGGAUGCAGUGAUGUGGCAGAAAUCUACCCCUUCGUUUGAAUUUCAAACCUACGGUUGCAAGAUUCUCAGAAUCUGCGUCAUUAAAUGCUGGCAGCCCAAAAGUUUGCUUCUCAGUAAGAAAACCCAAAAUCCUCAAACACGAACUCGUCAUUUUCUCCAUUCCUGUCUCUCCGGCUAAUGAACCUCGGCAUUAAAGCUUUCAUCCCUGUCUCUCUCUGAGCGAGUCCCUGCUUCAGGUAUUUCUUCUAUCUUCACGGUCUCGGUUAGUUGUAGAUAAUUUCUUUUCUCUUUGCUUUGCUUGGGGUAGUAUCUGGUAGUGGUGUUUUGGUUAUAACCUAGGGAAUGUCGAAGGGUAAGGAGAAAGUCGUUGAUAUUGAUGACGACGAACUAGGUUUCUUGCCUAGUCUGCUCACUGAUUCUGCUUUUGGCCCCGGGAUCCCCUUAGAGCCCACUAGGUCUAGUGUUGGGACUAGCGCUAGGAGGAUGUCCCCCCAAACAACCUCCACGAGCGGAAGUAGUGGCGAGGAGGGACCUUCUGGCUCGGAAGACACCCUAAGUGAGGAUCAAUGAGGUGACUCUGGUGAGGGAUCUUCACCGGGAACACUGCGACCAGAAGGGUGUAGUACAGUAGGAGGUAGAGCCUUGUCGCGGGAUUAUGCUAUUGAUUACAUGACCUGCACGACCACAUUCAACGAGCUGGAUGACCUCCGGCUCAGGUAUCAUAUUCCUGGUGAGGUACUCCUUAGGAUCCCAGGAAAGAAAGAUAGUCUUAGCAGGCCUCCUAGGGGAUUUGUCACCUUGUUCUUGGAGAGUUUUAAGUACGGGCUAAGGUGCCCCUUGCAACUCUAUUUUGCUCGCAUACUCCACGGGCUCAAUCUAGCUCCUGGUCAGUUGAACCCCAAUGGGUGGAGGGUGCUCUUUGGUCUGUUCAUAUUGUGGGACAGAUGUUGCCAAAGCGAGCCCACGGUUGAUGAGGUGAAGCACCUGUACCAGCUAAGGAGUAGCCCCAAAGAUGCCGGCUGGUACUACUUCCAAUCUAGUACCAAGAGUAGGAAACCCAUAACUGAUCUUCCAACUGGUGGUGGUGGGACUUGGAAGAGGAAAUUCUUUUUUGCUGGGGGUCCUUGAGGUCAAGUUGCACAAAUAGACGGGAAGGAUUGUCGCGUCCCACCCCGUUUCACGGUCCCAGGUUGCCUGCUCACUUUAGAUGUCUUGUAUCCAUAAUUGUUCUUACUUUAUUGGUUUGUCUCUAACCAAGUGUCUGUUUGUGUUGUAGUUUCUUGGGGUGUUCAUUUUCCGCUCAAACCUGAUCAGCUCAAACGGGUCGAGGCUGUACUAGCCAACUCCUGCCCGAGCCGAGAACUGAUAACUAUUUAUAACUUCCUCGAGUCUCGCUUGGUACUCCCUGGCCAUAAGAUGGAGGACGCUGUGAUUGGGGCUCUGAACAGGAAACGUUCUCGACCUCAAAACACGAAGAGGGACCAGAACAAGGACGCCCCUAGGGCAAAGCGGACCAACAUCGUGCAGCAAGUCUCUCCCUUGAAGACUUUACCUCCUGCUCCUGCCAAAGUCAGCGAAACUAGUGGAGCAGCCACAGAUCCUGCUUCCUCUUCUCCUCCUGUCGGGCCUCGAUCUCGCUUUCCUGACAGCCGAGCAGAACACUUGGUCCCCUAUCUCAAUGAGUUAUCUAAACUCGUGAGCAAGAAGGACCUGGAGGACUUUAAUGGCUGCACCCUGGGCGAGCUGGUAGGAGCCAUGCAGUAUAGUGCUUUCCAUCUCAGCUGCAUGACCACCUAUUAUAAGGCUAAGGUUGGCCGUUAUGACAGGAAGAUGAAGGAGGACAUUCAAUCAGCGAUGACCAGAGCUGACGCCGCCGAGAAGAAAGCAGGAGAGCUAAAUGUCGAGAACCUGAAGCUGAUAGAGCAAGAAUCUCUUGCUCAAGCAAAAGCCAUUACCCUCGAGGAGGAGCUGACCAAGGUCAAGGAGGAUCUUCAAAGGCAGAAGGCAAUGUAUGAGGCUCAGCUCGAAUCUCUCCGCGAUUCCCAUCGAGCUCAGGUCGAGAACUUGGAGAAGGAGGCCGACAACCAGUACGACCAGGGACUUCGGCAUUCCUAUCGUUGCAUCAUGGCCGUCCUCGGGAAGCAGCAUCCUGAUCUAAAGAUGGACGACCUUGCAGCUGGUGUCGCCCAACAUAUGGACGAGGAGGCUGCAAAGGAGGAUGCCGAAGGGGUAGACGCAAUCGUGAUUGAGGAGGAAAACUCUCCUCCUCAUGUAGACCCUGCUGACGUUGGCGAGGCGAGCACCCCCCCGGACGCAACUGGUGAUACCCCCCCUGCACCUGAGGAGGUCCAGCCAACCGAUGCUGCUCGGCAUACUGAUCCGCCAUCUUCUUGAACUUAUCUUGUGCUGUAAUUGCUUUUUGAAUAUUCUAUAUAACAGCUUUGUAAACUUUUAAGAGCUUAAUAAGAUUGUUCUUAUUUGCUUCCUCGCAUUGGUAUUUUAAUUUAUUUAUCUAUUUGGCUUCUGUCCUCGUCACAGAGGAGGCCUUGAAGUUUGACGAGCCUUUGCCUGUCUUGGAUAAUUUCUUCAAUGAUUGGGAUUCUGCUCGCCUUCGCGUGGUCGAGCAGAUCCUGGCACGCUUGGCUUUUGGUCUCGCCAUAAACAGGCUUUGAGACUCGACGAGCCUUUGCAUGCCUUAGUUUCUUCAAGGAUUGGGAUUCUGCUCGCCUUCGUGUGGUCGAGCAGAUCCUGGCACGCUUGGCUUCUGGUCUCGCCAUAAACAGGCUUUGAGACUUGACGAGCCUUUGCAUGCCUUAGUUUCUUCAAGGAUUGGGAUUCUGCUCGCCUUCGCGUGGUCGAACAGAUCCUGGCACGCUUGGCUUCUGGUCUCGCCAUAAACAGGCUUUGAGACUCGACGAGCCUUUGCAUGCCUUAGUUUCUUCAAGGAUUGGGAUUCUGCUCGCCUUCGCGUGGUCGAGCAGAUCCUGGCACGCUUGGCUUCUGGUCUCGCCAUAAACAGGCUUUGAGACUUGACGAGCCUUUGCAUGCCUUAGUUUCUUCAAGGAUUGGGAUUCUGCUCGCCUUCGCGUGGUCGAGCAGAUCCUGGCACGCUUGGCUUCUGGUCUCGCCAUAAACAGGCUUUGAGACUUGACGAGCGUUUACAUGCCUUCAAUUCUUCAAGGAUUGGGAUUCUGCUCGCCUUCGCAUGGUCGAGCAGAUCUUGGCACGCUUGGCUUCUGGUCUCGCCAUAAACAGGCUUUGAGACUUGACGAGCCUUUGCAUGCCUUCAAUUCUUCAAGGAUUGGGAUUCUGCUCACCUUCGCGUGGUCGAGCAGAUCCUGGCACGCUUGGCUUCUGGUCUCGCCAUAAACAGGCUUUGAGACUUGACGAGCCUUUGCAUGCCUUCAAUUCUUCAAGGAUUGGGAUUCUGCUCGCCUUCGCGUGGUCGAGCAGAUCCUGGCACGCUUGGCUUCUGGUCCCGCCAUAAACAAGCUUUGAGACUUGGUGAGCCUUUGCAUGCCUUUGAUAAUUUCUGGAAAGCUUAGGAUUCUGCUCACCUUCUCGUGGUCGAGCAGAUCCUGGCACGCUUGGCUUCUGGUCUCGCCAUAAACAGGCUUUGAGACUUGGUAAGCCUUUGCAUGCCUUUGAUAAUUUCUUGAACAGUGUAGUUGAUUCAAACUCCUCAUUGAUUCAUUUAUUAUUGAAUUCGGCUUACAUGAGGUUGCUUUGAAAUAAGAAAUAAAAAAAUAGAAAACAACAGACAUGAACAGAAAAAAAACUUUAAAACAUGAGUAAGUCUUACUAGAAAUAUUUCCUGAGGUGUGCCGCGCUCUAGGGGCGUUUCACCUCGUGGCCCUCCGUGCGAACCAACUUGUAAACUCUGGGUCCAACUAGCUGCCAUUCCUGGCUUCCACUCGGGUAUCAAAGGAUGUUAUCUGCAUUGCUUCCUUUGUUGCCGAGGAGUAACAGCUUCGUGCGAUUCUCUGGUCUCCUCGUACCACUCCAACUACCCCAUUCACCCGGUACUUGAGAGCCAGAUAAUGGUUGGACAGCACCGCUUUGCUCAUCCUCAGAAAUGGCCGGCCUAGGAUCAUCUGAUAAGGACCUUCCUCAUCCACUACCACAAAGUCCAGUAUCAUUGUCCUUUCUGUCGGGGAGCUCCCAAUCGUGAUAAGUAGCUCGACCACGCCCAGAGGGACCAACUUUCCUCCUCCAAACCCCUUCAAGGAGGUAUUGGUGUAAUCCAACUUCAGGUCUGCUAUUCCCAUUUCCUCCAGGGUUGACUUAAACAACACAUCAACUGAGCUCCCUGUGUCAACCAGUAUCCUGUCAAACUUCUUGCUGGCAACAGUGGCCUUGAUGACCAAAGCAUCCUCGUGGGGGUAUAGAAUCCCUUCUUCAUCCUCAUCUGUCCACAUGAUUGGCACUUGCCUGACUCUUGCACAUUUGGCUGCUGGGGUGUUGAAGAAUACAUCUUUGCUGGUCAUGGCGUAUCUAGCGUAAUUCUUCCUCGACCUGUUGGAAUCUCCGGCCAAUGUUGGGCCCCCAGCUAUCACCCUUAGUGCAGGAUGCUCGCGCCUCAGGUUUCUAUCACUCUGCUCCCCUUCAUAUGUCGAGGCCACCAUCGGGAAAGUCCCAUCUACAAACUCGUCCAGGUACCGAUUUCUCACCAAAUCUUCAACCUGGGUCUUGAGAUCUCUGCAUUCUGCGGUGGUAUGGCCAUGAGUGCCAUGGAACUUACAAUGGCGUCCCCUAUCCCUCCUGCCGGGUAGCUUUGUUAUUGGGGCAGGGAGGUACAGCAGUCCUCGGUCCUUUAUGGCCUCGUAUACUUCAUCUAGGGACAUCUUCAAGGACGUGUAUCGCCCAUACUCCUGGUUCUGGUCGAUCAGGUGCACGGCCCUUUCUCUAUUUGCUCCGUUCUGAGUUGGAGGCGAUGACAGCAUUUCUGGUCUGCUCCCUCUACUACCGUGGGAGUGUUGAUGAAGACCACCAUAUGUCGAAUCAUGCCUUCUCCAAGGCUCCCUAGCUGGGGAACGAGGAGGGUGCGCCCUGCUGCGCUGAUACUGUGGUGGCCUCUGAUGAGGCUGGUGAGCUGUUACCCGACCUCCUGCUCCACUACCUGAGGCCUGGAGGUCCCUCCUCCUGAUCGGCCAAUUUCCCAGUAAUGCCCUCUUUUCUUUCUUUUCCAACCCCUCCAGCUGGUCUGUCUUAAUCCGAGCUGCCUUUUCUUCCUCGAUCUCUAUGUCUCUUUUAGCUUGCUCGUAUGCGGCUGCAUACGUCUGAAUAGCUGGGCUUCUCAAGUUGUACCACAGCCUUCCUAUCUUCACUCCCUCUUUCAAUCCCCUUAGUGCCUGAGGAUGGUCGAAGGCUCCCAAAUCGAGGACAGCACGAUGAAACCUCUUGAUGAAUUCCCGAAGAGUUUCUUGUUCCCCUUGCUUCAUGCUUUUCAACUCCAUCAUGUCAUCUUCUAGUGCCAUUGCCCCACGAAACUGCUCUGCAAACUCCUGGCACAUCUGCUCGAAGGUUUUAAUGCUCCUCCCCCGAGGAAGUUUUCUGUACCACUCUCGUGCACGUCCCUCAAGGGAUAGUGGGAACACCCUGCCUGCACCUUUGGGAUUGAGAUAAUCCUUGUACCCCAAUUAUGUCGUUGAAGCGCUCUAUGUGCACCAGCGGAUCUGUUCGUCCCGAAUAUCUAAGGUCUGGGAGGCGGAAAUCUCUCGGAAUAACUGCCCUCAUGAUCUCUGCUGCGAGCGGUGAUUCUCCAUCUAGCAUUAUCCUCCAACCAGGAGCUCUGCUCCUUCCUUGCAUGUCGUCAAUUAUCUGCGCUAGUCUGCGCACUUCCUCCUCCAGCUGCACUGCACGACCAGGGUCACGUGCUGCAACUUGAUCCCGCUCUUGCUCUACAUCAAGCAAGUGUUGCCUCAACUCUGUUUCCUCUGCAUUUGCCACCCCGUCGUCCUCGUCAAAAAUCUGUCUUGCCGGGAAUUGCUCUUCCUCUCUACGGAAUUCUCCCCGCAGAGGUAUGUUACCUCUCUCACCACCAAAUCUCCCGGUGGUUUGACUUCUCCUCGUACUAUCGGGACCUAGUGCCACUCCACCAACUCUCAUCCUUUCCUCCUGGGUUACCCUUCGUUCACUCCGCAACUCAUGCAGGAUGGUUGUCAGGGUCUCCAUCUGCUUUUCCAUUCGUUCCAUUCGGUCGAACAUGGCUUUUUCCCGUGCUUCACUGGCUAUCUCCCUCAGAGUCACGGAAUCGUUAAGCCUCAUAUCACCCCCUUGUGCACUACUUCCUCCUGUCUCCAUUGCUUUUCACUUGCUUCACUCCUCUUCUUGCUAUCAACAGAAGCUUUUUGAUCAGCUCCCCACAGACGGCGCCAAAAUAUUGAUGCGAGAUUCUGGUUGUCCUCGUUCUACGACCAGGGUCUCUGCUCGAUCAACUUCACCACGACCAGGAUCUCUCCUCGUAAAGCUUCUUCUCCAGAGGUUCCUGCGCACACAGACAGGUCAGAGUACGCCGGUUGUUUUCCCGGCGCAAACCCUCCGACGCUCAAGUCAGAAAUAGGGGUUCUGGGAAUGUUUGCCACUAAUCUUAUGGCUUCUUUUUAAUCUCAGUUCUCGGAACUUUCUUUUCUUAGUUCUAAUAGCAAAAAGUCUAACCCUUUUACCUUCGCUGGCUACCUUUUUAUAGGCUUCCUUUGAAUCCCGGUCUUCCGUAGUCCACGCCCAUUAGUCUUCCCACCCUCGGAUGUGGAUGCCCCAUUGUCGUCAUUGUGGGCGAAUGGAGAUGGACUUCGUGCCUUGAUUCUCGGAUAGGAACGCACGUCUUGCCAACUGUCGUUGACCGGGUCUCCUCGCCUCGACCCCUAGCAGGAAUGGCCUUAUGCCUCUAACAGGAGUUCGUCCUCGUGAAUGGCAUAUUUGUGGACGAGCAGAAUAUUCCUGCUCCUGUUCCCUUGCUACCAGGCUCUUACAGGACAUACCUGUUCGCAGAACUCUGCCACCAAAUAUAUGCUCAUCAUGUCUGGUCUCGUCGAAGUAUUUCCCUCAAACAACACAUAGCAAACAUGACAUUAACUACUUGCAGCAGCAUCAUCCAGAAACUUCACUAUAAUCUUCUUGAGCUUUUCAGCGGCAUCUUUCGUAGAUGCCCUUUGUUUUGGUGACUCCAUGCAAAAAUCCAAUGCCGAAUGCAUGAUGCUUAAUAAACAAUUCAUUUUAUUAGUACAUUGGAUAUAAUCGAAGGCAGAGUAUAUUUCAGGACAAGUAGAGUAGCAUUCUUGGAUCCUUUGCUAUUAUCUUCUUUGCAAGGUGGGACUUGAGGUCCUGGUGGACAACAUACUGCAUAAUUCUAAAAAAAUUAUUGAGCUGAAAUGUUUUUAAAAGGUCUUUUGAUAGAAACUCCCCCUUCUAGCCUAUUGUGAGACACAUUAAGUUGUUUGAGAUAUAAGAGUGCCUCUAUUGACUUUGGAAUUUCUCCAGAGAAAUUGUUGCUUGGGAGAUCCAAAGAUUCCAACCUUAUCAAACUACCAAAUGAUUUGGGGAUUAGACCAUAAAAUUGGUUUCUAGCCAAGCUAGAUCUUUGGGGCCACCAAUAUUUACUGGCAUAUCACCUGAUAAUUGAUUUCUUGAUAAAUCUAACUCUAUUAAGACCCUUAAGUUUUGUAUAUCACUUGAUAAUUGUUUGUAUUGGGCCUUCUAUUUUCAUUAUAGAAUAAAUUAACUAUUAAUUUUCAUGAGAAAAAUACUUAUUUCCAUAAAAUUAUUCAAGCUUUUAAAAAGAUUUAGAAUUAAAAAUCAAACUUUGUACUGUAGAAAAUUUGCCGGUACGUUCAAUUAGUACUUUGUUUGAGGAAAUAAGAUUAGAAUAGGCUAUAGGUACGGUAGUUAUGCGGUACCUGUUUAAUAACCGUAGUAUAGUAAAUGUUUGACUUUUUUAUUAGAAAUAUAUCAUUAACAAUUUUGUUCGCUAAUUGAAUAGAGAAAGAAAGGGGGGGUGGGGGGGGGGGGAGGGCAAAAAGGUUAACACAUUUCGAAACUACAAACGAUUGCCUUUUCCUAUUAAUAAUGUUUGCGGAUUCUAACAAUUGAAUCUCAAGGUCAUUACAUAGUGAAUUUUAUAGUUAAUAAAAUUAAUAUUCCACAUACUAUCUACUCAAUUAAUGUCACAUUUUUUGAAACUUGAAUGAUCUAUUUGCUACAAUUAGGAGCCAACGUCGUAAUGAAUGUUAAAUUAUGCUGUUUGUUUUGAUUUACUUUUCUAUCUUAGCUCCAAGUGAUUAGCGGAAUGCUGGUCUUGUGAGUAUAAAAUGAACUCCUUAAGUCAAAUUCCUUCUGGGGUGUUGGAGAAAGAACUAAAUACAUGUAAUCUUGCUUUCGGAUAUGGAUUAUCUGAUGGAUGUUGUAUUUUCUAGGUAUUGAGGAGAUUCCUCAUUAUUGAAAAAUUACGUUCCCGAGCAUCAAAAGAUGAUCCCAUAGAAUUGCGUUCUCCUGUGACAAAAGAGGAGCUUGUAGCUGAGGUAUCGAUUUUUAUCUUUCUUGAUUGUUCUUUAUAGUUGUUUCUCAUCAAAAUAGAAAAAGCAGUUUGUUCUGAGUGACCUGUGCGGUCUACUAUCAAUCACUGCCAUUUCUAUCAUUUAGUACUAUUGACUGUGUGUAUAGAUAUUUUGUUUUUGCCAUGUAAUUUCAUGUUUGAUACAUUUCUAAUACAUUGCAUAGCGUUCAUGAACGAGAAUGAUAAACUAACUUUCAGGUGUGUUUAAGUAGAUGAAAAAACUUGGUACAAUUUAGAAGGAUUCACUAAUUUUCCAAUUUGUUUGUAUGGAGAAAUUGAAUAGUUAAUUGAUUAGAGGAUUGCAAAGUGGGUAGGUCCAGCUGGGCAUUGUCAAUAUUAACGAUCGAUGUUUUGAGAAGGUCUGGAGCUGACAUCACGGUUGCGUCUGUGGAGAAACAACUUCGUGUCGACGCGUGUCACGGUGUCAAGAUUGUCGCUGAUGCUCUCGUGUCUGACUGCCGCGACGCCGUUUUUGAUCUUAUAGCUCUUCCCGUAUGUAUUGCAGCUCACCUCAGCUCAUGCCAAUUUAUGUGAUGUUUGUAUAAUUAUAGAUGAUUAUUGCUGAUACUGAAUGUUAAGCUAAAUAAUUCGUUCUUAAGUCAUCUUCAUUUAAUUUUCGAUUGAAAAUGAAAAAAAUAAUAAUUGUAAGCAAAGAAAAAUAUCGAAAAUGUUUAUUUUGUUUUAAUUUUAUUUUUUAAUUUUUUGGGAUUUCCUUAUUGUGGCUGUUAUUAUUCAUUAUAUGGUCCUAGUUAAAUAUUUCAAGUUGUUGUAGUUAGUGAAUUUCUUUUCGAUAUUUAUUCUGGCAUGUAUAUUUUUUCUUUUCAAUUUCUUUUGUUGCUGAUUCUUUGAUUAUGUUAUAUCCUUUUUUGUUUCCCUUGUAGGGUGGCGUGCCUGGUGCUACCAAUCUGAAAGAAUCUGAAGUAUUAGAAAGCAUUGUGAAGAAGCAGGCUUCAGAUGGGCGUCUUAAUGCUGUUAUCUGUGCUUCACCUGCUGAGGCAUUAGGGUCUAGGGGUCUGUUGAAGGGAUUGAAGGUAAGAAUUAGAUAAACCUUUUUGAUGUUCUGUGGUCUUUUGGGAAUUGCACUGAUAUUUUUGUUAUAGUUCAGUUUUCUUCUCGCUGAUGAUUGUUAAGUUCUAAUUUAUGUAGUUGUUCAUUUUUCGUAGGCUACUUGUUAUCCGUCAUUUAUGGAGCAAUUAGCUCCUGCUUGUGCAACAACUGUUGAAUCAAGAGUACCACAGGAUGGUAAAGUUGUUACGAGUCGUGGACCCUGCACUACUAUGGAGUUUGCUGUUGCACUUGUUGAGCAGUUGUAUGGGAAAGAGAGAGCUGAUGAGGUUUCUGGGCCACUGGUAGUAACUUUUAUAGAUAAUGUUGUUUAAAAAAAUUGUGAGUUAUAUAAUUUGUUGAAAUUCAUUCUAAUAGGUUCAUCUGGUAUGUCAAAUUGGAAGGUUCAGAUGCUAAUGUAGUCCAAAAAAUUAGUUCAGGGGAAAAGUAUGACUUUUUGCAUUAGAGAUUUAUUAGAUGAAGUUGUAUACCUACUGGCCCAUCUUAAUAUGGUGAAAACGAUGUAAAAUCGGGAGAGGGGGUUCGGGGGAGAGGGGAAGCCCUCUCCAACCGCAAGGCCGUUAUUCUGACAUGAAUAGAGUAAGGCCUUUACUUUUAUAAAGAAAGGUCCCUGUUUUGCACGUCUCCACUGAUCACAUUCUUUUUAAUGUAAGUUCUUUCUCUUGGUAUUUGUCUUUGAUUUUUCUCUUCCUCAUGCUGUCGUCUGUCAAAAGAUUUGGCUGCAGCAUCUAGAAGUUUUGAAGAAGCAAAAUGGGUCACACGGCUUUGAAGUUCUAGAUGCCGUAAUGUUUGGUAAAAGUAAAAAAAAAUUCAAAGCUCAAAAAUUCAAAGUUCGAAAAACUGAAAUUUUUGAGCUGUAUGGCUUGUAAUUUUAUAGCCACUUUUUUGACUUUUAAGGAAAAGUUUUACCUAUAAAUACAAGCUCUCAAUUUAGAGCUUGCAUCCAAUUUUGUAAAGAGAGUCGAGAGCUGUGAAAAGCAAUUCUUGCAGAGCAGAGAGUUUGUAGAGCUUAAAUAAUAAAAGCUGUUGUUUUAAUGAUUUGAGAGUUUGGAUGUAUUGGGGUUUUGGGAAGUGAGCUAAAAUACUACAAUACUUGUAACUCCUUUUCACUAGUAAAAUAUUUUUCUUCUAUCUUCACCCAUGGACGUAGGUUAAAAGCCGAACCACGUAAUUUCCUGGUGUCCUCUUUGUGCUUCUUCUUGAUUUUUUUUUCCCAAUUUUACUUUAGUUGCGGCCCUGCUUCACCCGCCAAUUUCCUAACAGCGGUAUCAGAGCUAUUAGUUGUAUUAUUUGGAGUCGGGUACUAUUCACAUACGGUACUGUUCACAUAUACGGUACUAUUCAUGUAUACGUUACUAUUCACGUGAAACGGUGGGAGCAAUUCUAGUAUUGGCGAUGCAAAGCAGGGGAAUAGUGUGUGUGAGUGGAGUAAUUGUGUGGUUUUGGACAUGUGUAAGAAAGUUCUGUCACAAAGGCGAUAAGAGCCUAAGGAGUUAGGAUUUUAAGUGGGACUAUUGUGACCCCUCCAGUCUUUCCUGGGAACUUUCUUGGUGUGCUCUCACACAUACUCACAACUAUUCAAGCUGGUACACUAGUUUUGUACAAUAUUUAUCAACAAAAUGGUGGCAAAGUAUGAAAUUGAGAAGUUUAACGGAAAUAAUUUUUCGUUGUGGAAAAUGAAGAUGAAAGUUGUAUUGAAGAAAAAUAAUUGAUUGGCAGCAAUUAGAGAAAGGCCCAUGGAGAUAACUGAUGACAAGUGGAACAAGAUAUAUGGCAACGCCAUUUUUGAUCUACACUUGGCACUUACGGAUGAAGUAUUAUUCAGUGUGGCAGAGAAAACUACAGCGAAGGAAAUAUGGGAUACUCUCACAAAAUUGUACGAGACCAGGUCACUACACAACAAAAUCUUCUUAAAGAGGAAGCUCUAUACUCUUCGAAUGACGGAAUCUACAAUGGUGACCGACCACAUCAAUACCUUGAAGACUCUAUUUUCACAACUCACAACGUUAGGUCAUAAUAUAGAGGAAAAUGAACAUGCAGAGCUUCUACUUCAAAGUCUACCAGAUUCGUAUAAUCAACUCAUCAUCAACCUGACGAAUAAUAAUCCAGCGGACAGUUUGGUUUUCGACGAUGUUGCAGCCUCCGUAUUAAAUGAGGAGAGCAGGCGGAAAAAUAAGAAAAAUAGACAAGCAAGUUUGCAGCAAGCGGAGGCGUUAUCGGCGACGAGAGGGAGAUCAACGGAACGUGGCUGGCCCCAGUGGGAGUCACAAUCGUGGUAGAUCAAAAUCCAGAAGUAAGAAGAAUGUUAAAUGCUACAAUUGUGGUAAGAAAGGGCACGUCAAGAAAGAGUGUUAGAGUAACCAGAAGAGAAAAGAUGGCAAAAAACCUGAGUCAUCAAAUGCUCAGGGGUGUGUAGCAAGUACCUCGGAUGAUGACGAAAUUCUCUACAGCGAGGCAACAACUGUUUCAGAAGGUAGAAAAUGACUAUAUGAUGUCUGGCUUAUAGACUCAGGAGCUACCUGACACAUGACCUAUCGUAGAGAAUGGUUCCACACAUAUGAACAUAUCUCAGGAGAAUAUGCAUAUAUAGGUAAUGAUCAUGCCUUGGAGAUCGUUAGUAUUGGUACUAUCAAAAUAAAAAUAUUUGAUGGUACAAUUCGCACAAUUGAGGAGGUACAACAUAUCAGCGGCCUGAAGAAAAAUCUAUUGUCUUUGGGACAAAUGGAUAGUCAUAGGUACAAAACUCAUGUGGAGAAUGGAAUUAUGUAGAUCGUUAAAGGCGCGCUUGUAUUGAUGAAGGCAGAAAAGAUCAGUGCUAAUUUAUUCAUGCUUAAAGGAGAAACACUACAGGAGGCUGAUGUAUGUGUCGCGUCAAAUGGAGAAGAGUCAACGAUGAUGUGGCAUCUCAAACUUGGCCACAUGUCAGAACAAGGCUAGAAGAUUCUCUCUGAGUGAAAAUUGCUUCCAGGGUUCAAAUCGGUAAGUUUACCAUUUUGCGAGCAUUGUGUUAUAAGUAAGCAACAUAGAUUAAAGUUCAGUAGAUCUAUUACUAGAAGUAAAUGCAUUCUAGAAUUGAUUCAUUCUGAUGUUUAGGAAUCGCCGGAUAUGUCCAUGGGAGGUGCAAAGUACAUGGUGACUUUCAUUGAUGAUUAUUGCAGGAGAUGUUGGGUGUAUUCAAUUAAGAAAAAGUCAGAUGUAUUUCCAGUGUUUAAAGAAUACAAAGCGCGGGUGGAACUUGAAUUUGGUAAAAGGAUCGAGUGCUUGGGGACAAAUAAUGGUGGAGAGUAUACAGACGGCGAGUUUCUUGCUUUCUGUAAGCAAAAAGGUAUUUAGAGGUAGUUAAUGGUAGCAUACACUCCUCAACAAAACGGAGUGGCGAAGCGAAUGAACAUAACUCUUACAAAAAGAAUAAUAGCUAUGUUGAGGACUGCUGGUCUACCCAAUUCAUUCUGGGCAGAAGCAGCCAAAACUGCCUGUUAUAUCGUAAAUCGAUUGCCAUCUACAACAAUUGGGCUGAAGACAGCGAUGGAGAUAUGGACUGGAAAGCUAGCUGAUUACUCAUACCUACAUGCAUUUGGAUGUCCUGUGUACGUGAUGUACAAUGCCCAAGAAAGAAUAAAGCUUGAUCUAAAAUCUAGAAGAUGUAUCUUCUUGGGAUAUACUGAUGGAGUAAAGGGGUAUCGUCUGUAGGACCCCACUGCCCACAAGAUCGUCAUCAGCAGAGAUGUUAUUUUUUGUAGAAGAUCAACUACAAAGGAAAGAUAGAGAUGAUGACACUGUAAAAGAAAAGUCAGAGACUGUGCCAGUAUAUGUGGAAAAUAAUCCAGAAGAUUCAGAUUCUUCUGAAGCAACACCAGAGCAUGAAGAAUAAGAAUCAGUCGAGUUCGAGGCUCCAGAAGUUCGUCGGUUAACUCGUGAAAGACGACCGCCAACGUGACACUCGGAGUAUGUCACAGAGAUCAACGUUGCAUACUGUUUUCUAACAGAGGAUGGAGAGCCUUCAACUUUCCAUAAAUCUUUAAACAGCUCAGAUGUUACUUUAUGGAUGACAACAAUGCAGGAAGCAAUUGAGGCUCUACAUAAGAACAAGACAUUGGAGCUUGUACCACUACUACGUGGAAGAAAAGAUAUUGGAAACAAAUAGAUCUACAAGAUCAAAUGUGAUGGUAAUGACCAAGUGGAACGGUAUCAUGCAAGAUUGGUGGUGAAAUGAUAUGCUCAGAAAGAAGGUAUUGACUUCAACGGAAUAUUUUCUCUGGUGGUUUGACUCACAACAGUCAGAAUAGUCUUGGUAAUGUGUGCUACAUUUGACUUACAUCUUGAGCAGUUAGAUGUGAAAAUUGCAUUUCUUCAUGGAGAACUUGAAGAAGAAAUUUAUAUGCUCCAACCAGAAGGUUUUGCUGAAAAGGGAAAGGAGAACUUGGUUUGCAGGUUGAACAAAUCUUUAUACGGUCUCAAACAGGCACCGAUGUGUUGGUAUAAGAGAUUUGAUUCCUUCAUCAUAAGCCUCAGAUACAAUAGACUCAGCUCAGACCAAUGUGCAUAUUAUAAAAGGUUUGAAGAUAAUGAUUUCAUUAUUUUGAUAUUGUAUGUGGAUGACAUGUUGGUAGCAGGCCCCAACAAAGAUCGAGUCCAAGAAUUGAAGGUAUAAUUGAUUAGGGAGUUUGAAAUAAAGGACUUGGGACUAGAAAAUAAGAUUCUAGGGAUGCAAAUUCACCGAGACAGAAAUAACAGGAAGAUUUGGCUUUCUCAGAAGAACUACUUGAAGAAAAUUUUGCGACGCUUCAACAUGCAAGAUUGUAAGUCAAUUUCUACCCCACUUCCUGUUAAUUUCAAAUUAUCCUUAAGUAUGUGUCUGAGCAAUGAAGCAGAGAAGGAGGAGAUGUCUCGAGUACCGCAUGCAUCAGCAGUGGGAAGUUUGAUGUUCGCUAUGAUAUGUACUGGAUCGGACAUUGCACAAGCAGUGGGAGCAGUCAGUCGGUACAUGGCAAAUCCUAGUGGAGAGUAUUGGAUAACUGUGAAGAAGAUUCUGAGAUACAUCAGAGGAACCUCAGAUGUUGCAUUAUGUUAUGGAGGAUCAGAGUUUACUGUCAGGGGUUAUGUGGAUUCAGAUUUUGUAGGAGACUUUGAUAAAAGAAAAUCCACUAUUGGCUAUAUGUUUACACUUGCAGGAGAAGCUGUAAGCUGAGUUUUGAAACUGCAGACCGUUGUGGUUUUAUCUACAACAGAAGCAGAAUACAUGGCAGCUACACAAGCUUGGAAGGAAGCUAUCUGGAUACAAAGGUUAUUGGAGGAGUUCGGGCACAAACAAGAGAAAAUUUUUGUGUAUUGUGACAGUCAGAGUGCCUUGCAUAUUGUAAGAAAUCCAGCAUUUCAUUCAAGGACAAAGCAUGUAGGAGUUCAGUAUCACUUCGUUCAAGAAGUAGUGGAAGACGGAAGUGUGGAUUUACAGAAAAUCCAUACGAAGGAGAACCUAGCAGAUGUUUUGACCAAGCCGAUAAAUACUGAUAAGUUUGUCUGGAGUAGAUUCUCUUGUGGCCUAGCAGAAACGUAGGCAACAUGACAGUGGCGAAGCAGAAACGAUGGUGUGGAGAUUGAUUGAUCCUCAAUCAAAUCUCCAAGUGGGAGAAUGUCAAAAGAUUUGGCUGCAACAUCUAGAAGCUGCAUCUAGAAGUUUUGAAGAAGCAAAAUGGGUGGCACAUGACUUUGAAGUUCUAGAUGCUGUAAUGUUUAGUAAAAGAAAAAGAAAAAAAUUCAAAGCUAAAAAAUUCAAAGUUUGAAAAUCUAAAAUUUUUGACCUGUAUGGCUUGAAAUUUUAUAGCCACGUUUUUUACUUUUGAGGCAAAGUUUUGCCUAUAAAUACAAGCUCUCAAUUUAGAGCUUGCAUCCAAUUUUGUAAAGAAAGUCGAGAGCUGUUAGAAGCAAUUCUUGCAGAGCAGAGAGUUUGUAGAGCUUAAAUAAUAAAAGCUCUUGUUUUAGUGAUUUGAGAGUUUAGGUGUAUUAGGGUUUUGGGAAGUGAGCUAAAAUACUACAAUACUUGUAACUCUUUUUCACUAGUAAAAUAUUUUCCUUCUGUCUUCGCCCGUAGAAGUAGGCUAAAAGCCGAACCACGUAAUUUCCUGGUGUCCUCUUUGUGCUUGUUCUUUAUUUUUUUUCAAUUUUAUUUUAGCUGCGGCCCUGCUUCACCCACCAAUUUUCUAACAUCGUCUUCACUGUCACCCUGUGCCUAGGUAAUGCGUGCAAAUCAUGGGGUUGAAUACACUAUUGCUGAAUUCAAUCCAAUUCAGUGGACAUUUGACAAUUCUCCCCAGGUGAGAUUGGACUUCUAGUUUCUUGUAUUUGUUUUUCUUCAUCCGAUGUUUUCAGGGAUACCUAUUUGGCAGUAUAUAAAAAUCUGUGAUAUCGUCUAUACAUAUACAUAUACAUCAUUGGCUUCAGUCAUUUGUGAACAUAUUGGUGGUAGUAGAUGUAUUUUUAUGAUAUCUCUAAUAAAAUCCUAAGUUUGAUUAAUUACAAAAGAAGUAUGAGCGGUGCUGGACCGGGGGGGAGGGGGGAGGAGUGGGGUGUCGGUGUGUUGGGGGUGUGCAGUGCAUGAAUAAAAGGAAAUGAUAGGGGGUGAAAGUUUGUGCUACCGACAUGCUGUAAAAUGGGGACACAAUAUUUCAAAUUAGAGAUUGUGAGAUCCUUAAUAUUGCUGACUUGUGCUUAAAAUGGAAUUCUUGAUAACUUCAAAUGUUAAAGUUCUUGGUGAAAUUUUGUACUUUCUUUUCUUUCAGAUUCUUGUGCCUAUUGCAAAUGGUUCAGAGGAGAUGGAAGCUGUUAUGAUAAUUGAUAUUCUGCGACGAGCUAAAGCAAAUGUUGCAGUUGCAUCAGUUGAGGAUAAACUAGAAAUUCUGGCUUCGUCAAAUUAAAUUAGUGGUAGAUGUGCUCAUUGAUGAGGCGGCUAAACUUUCGUAUGAUUUAGUUGUCUUGCCAGUGAGUUGGGGUGCUUACUCUUGCUUCAUAGUCUUUACCACAUUAUUGACUUACUAACUACAAUUUAUCCAUGCACAUUGCACAGGGUGGACUUGGUGGCGCUCAAGCAUUUGCGAAGUCAGAUAAAUUGGUGAAUAUGCUAAAGAAGCAAAAGGAAUCAAAUAGACCUUACGAUGCUAUAUGUGCAUCCCCAGCUUUAGUGUUGGAGCCCCGUGGCUUACUCAAGGUACGACCAUUUCUGCUUAAAUUAUUUACUCAGAUUUGGAUCACCUAAUCUGAACUUGAUGAGAGAUUAUGAUGUUGUAUGAUUUUAUGAAUGUGGUCUUAUCUCAUGUAAGUCAGUGAUGAAUUAAUUGGAGUUUGUUGACAAAUUAGAAGCUGAAAAACUGCUGCUGCUUCGUUAGUUACAUUACCCAAAGAGUUAAAAUUAACAUCACAAAUUUGUUAUCCCAAAUGAUAUGGCAUUUAUUGAGUGAUUGGUAUUAAUUGUAUUAUCUAACCCACCAACAGAUGAAUGCCGCACCAUUUGAGACGAUCUUUUGGGAUAAAAAAUUUGGGAAGUGCAGCAAAUUUUUAUGCCGAUUUUUUUUGGCUUCAUUCAUGUAAACUCCUCCCCCCCCCCCCCCAAAAAAAAAGGAAAACCAGCAAACACCAAAAAAAAAAAAUUCUGAAGUACUUCCCUUAAUAUCAUUCCUGUGUAUUUCUUUUCCCCUCAAGACAUAUUUAACUUUGGUUCAGGGUAAAAAAGCUACAGCUUUUCCUGCCAUGUGCAACAAGCUGUCAGAUCAGAGUGAAAUCGAAAACAGAGUUGUGGUUGAUGGCAACCUCAUCACCAGUAGAGGGCCAGGAACUUCAAUGGAGUUUGCACUGGCAGUUGUGGAGAAGUUUUUUGGCCGCAACAAGGCACUUGAGCUUGCAAAGAUAAUGCUUUUCACUCGCGCCUAACGUUUGUACCGGGACCUGACUACUAUUAAACUAGUGUGUUUAUUUCUGUAUUACUACUGCUUGUAGAGAGGGGAAACGGAAACUUGAAUUCAUGUUUGAAUAUGGAUUCACUGUGUCGGUUUGUACAGCAGUUUGGUUUAUAAAUAAAUGAGUUCAUAGAGUCAUUUCAAAUAUUUGGAAUAAACCUGAGUUUAGUUCUGUUAUCAAUGGUCGGAGUCCAAUUGCGAUCGACUCACUGGGAAUUUUAAUUAUG
This 64774-nucleotide long non-coding RNA is filed under the name Citrus maxima (pomelo). Its description in RNAcentral is "long non-coding RNA (CMAX_LNC003046)". The record is from RNAcentral. Lineage: Eukaryota; Viridiplantae; Streptophyta; Magnoliopsida; Sapindales; Rutaceae.